UUCUCCAAUGUUUGGUUUAAAAAGGUAGCAACACAGACAAAAGGCAGCAUCUUUUUCUACACUAUAUUCCAACCAAGUAGGAAAAUCAUCAAACCAAGCAGGGUUGAAUCGUCUUUGCGUGUCUCCAUAUUUCUUGUAAGGAAAAUUAAGCUGUAGAAUUGAGUUUUCUUGGAGAUGUUGACAAUGUUAUCCAUAUUAAUAUAUAUGCUUUCUUAACCAAAAAAAAAAUGCCUAAUAACGAAUCCAUAUCCAACCAAGGCAACAAUUCAAUUAACCAAUACCAAUAAGCAUACAAAUUAUUCAACAAAUAAACAUUUAAUUCAACUAAUCAUAUGAAUAAAUGUAUACCCAUAUUCAUAGAAUUCGUAAUUUCAUUCAUCAAUAAUCAUAUAUUUCAUAUCAAUAAUCAAUAAUCAAUAAGUCAAUAAUCAUAUUAGUGCAUACCAUAUCCAUAUGAUUCUAUAUUUCUAUACCAAUUAAACAAAAAUUCAUCUUAAAUAAUUAAUUAGGGUUAGGAAUUAUAGAUUUAGGAAUUAAAAAAUUUACCUAAAUAUAUAUAUAUGUCGGCUAGACUAGAGAGUGGCUAGUUGGAGUGGCUGGCUGCUGGCGUGGUUGGGAAGAGCAACUUUGCUCCUGUUCCGUUCCAUUUCAAAGUGUUGGUUGGGGGAAGACAGACAGAGCAGCACCAAGCUGCUCUCUGAUUGGUGCGGCGCAAAGGGCAACGAAAACAAAGGGAGGGAUGGAAAUGGGAGUCUAGGACCGUGGGGACAAGCGGUCCCCCACUAUAACAUAACUUUUUUUUUUUAAAACAUAUACGAAACGACGCCGUUUCGUUUACAUUUUUUUAAUUUUUUUUACCAGGACCAAAACGACGUUGUUUUGGCCUGGUUUUGAAAAAAAAUAAAUAAGAUCAGGCUUCUACAGAACCAGAUCGGAGGAAUUGAGGUUCAUUUUGCCUUUGGCCUGGUUUUGAAAAAAAAAAUAACACCCAGCUUUGCUUCUGCAGAACCAGAUCGGAGGAACCAAAAAAUCGCAGUGGGGGCUUUGCUGCUGCAGAACCAGAUGAGUUUGAGCAGCAUGCUAACAUCAGAAAAAUCUCAGUAGGGGCAUCCGCCCCCCUAGGCCCAUGGUAGCUCCACCCUUGACAACAGUAUAAAAUUGGGCUUAAACAGAUUGUUCCUUGACUUAGUCAAUCAGAUGGUUCGAACCAUAUAAUAAUUAGUUUAGCUUACAACCAUCCUAUUCAAAAGAUAUUCGUUAAUGUAACAAAUCUAUAGUUAUAUACUUGAGUAGCAACAAACACUAUAUCAUGUAAAUGUUUAGUCUUCACAACUCUAGUAGUACGUAUCUCGACUUACAAGUGUGUCUCAUUUUCUCUGUCGGGACUAAAGGGGCUCGAGCCAACAGCUUCCACCUUAACAGGGUGGUGCGAAGGAACUUCCUAGCUUCGCGCGACCAACUAAUUAGACUUCCUCUAGUAACAAGUACAAUCUAUUUUUAACCUUGCCAAAACCGUCAUGGCCCAAUCAUGUAUAGUUUGUACCAAGGGUGAAACUCACCAUUAAAAUGUGUUCGGGUCAUAACCAUUAAAUACGGGAAUAUUUUUCUUCACCACCUUUAAGUAAUAGUGAUGCUUACCUUCCAUUAAUUGUCGUUAGAUGAAUUUAAAUCUUGAGAUUUGUGUAAUAGAUAGACACAAAUUUCAAAAUUUAAACUCAUUCAACAAUUAUAAAUAUGAUGGUGAGCGUAACCACCACUUGAGAACUAUGGAAAUGAUGUAAUAUUUGGGCUGACCAAAUUGAUCAAGAGAAGAGGAGUCACUUAUUCAGGGCAACGUGGACUGGUUGUUUGGCAGGCUUAUAACUCUAUCCUGAUCAAGCAAAACAUGUGCUGAAUUCCUAAUUCCAUGUGCACAACCAUUUCAGAAACAAAUUGCCGGCAAUUGCAAAAUUGAACCAAAAAUUAUCAAAUCUCAAGUCGAUGACCCAAUGAUUGGUUCAAAUAAGUAAAUAUCUUGUCUGAUCAAACUUCCUAUUUUAAGGCUCAAUUUAUAGUCUUUCGUGGGAAAACAACUUAUAUGAAAUAAAUUUAUCGUCACUUGAAAUCAUACGUUAAUAUAUUAGAGCAGAACGUCACAAAGUAAUGUACCCAUUACAUAUAAAUCAUUCUCCCUCCUGCAACCAAGCAGUACCAUGCAUUUAGAAGCUUUGGUAGUUAGAGAGGGCCUCAUGUUGGCUAUUAACAGGGGUUGUUAAAACCUUAUUCUCGAAAGCGAUUCUCACCAAAUUGUCUUAGUUUUGCAAGAGCAAUCCCUCAACCUCUCGCCUGUUGGCCCUACUGUUGAGGAUGCAAAGACUUUGCUAGACCAGAUCAAUGGAGAUUUCACCAUCCAUAUCCGCCACCAAGCGAAUGAAGCAAUGCACCACCUUUUCAACACAUCACUUCUUUAUAAUGAUUUCGUUCUUGAUUUGACGAACCUCUUGAUCUCUUAACAGAUCUUUUACAUGAGGAGGGUCCCUCUUCUGCGUGACUCGUCUCUUUUAUGCAUUCCAAAAGAAAAAAAAUAUGUGGGAUGACACCUAUUACCUAUAGCAACAUUUCACAAUUCCAAAAGGAGCCGCAAACUCCAUGGAUGUAUCCCUUUAAUUGUCUGUCAAGGGGUCCUAUUGCAAUGAUUCUGUUUCCAAAUACUUUGAAACUUAACAAACAAGCUAUUUACUUUUUAAAAAGGAAACAAAUAUCAUUUAUUAAUUGACUUUUAUGGUCCACAAUACUUUACACUUUGAAUCAUCUCAAAACCAAUUUGCAAACUUUCAUGAAAUUACCCAAAAAUGCUUUUGAGACGUUAUCACAUCUUCUGUCCAACCAUUUUCAGAGUAAAAUUAUGUCCCCUCUUAUUUACAUUCUCUUUCUUUUCAUUUUCUCACAUUUUACUUUUUAUCUUAUUAUUUCUCAUUAAUUUGCAUUUUUUUGUAAAGAGAAAACGUAAUUAUCUCUCAUAUGAUUUUUCUUAUGAAUUUUUUAAAAGAGAUUGAAUGAAAUAUCCUUAAUUGACUAACAGAGACAAACUAAAUUAGCCAAAUCGAAAACAAUGGCAUCGAAUUGACCAUAUGACUAUAACAUAAGGACCAUUUUGACAUUUAUGCCAAAAAUCAAUAUAAAUGUUGACGUAACCUAAUAGUAACAGUUCAAAUAGAAAGGAAGAAAAAGAAAAAGAAAUUAAAAGAAGAGAAGAUCCUCCUCCACCAUUUUCGAGGAGCCGAAUGAACUUUCCUGCAAUGUAGACGAUAGCGUGACGGUAUCUCAAGAUAAUUACUCGCCACAACACUGAAAAGUUGAAAUGCAAUAGUUCCCCAAGGCAAAUAAUGUUAGCGAAAUAGCAUUGUACCGGUAUCUCGAAACAAUCAUUCACCGUUAUUCCGAAACAAUCAUUCACCGUUAUCCCGAAACAAUCACGCACUGCGCCCGCCGGAAAGUCAAAAUGCAAUAGUACCAAAGUUCUAACUAAAUCAAUACAAGAAAAUGAAAUCUUCAUUUUAAAUUUUUUUUUUUUUUUAUUUCAGCUGCAAUUCUAAAAACAAACGAAUUCUAAAGUUAUUCCUUUUUCUUUUGCAAAACAAAAUUACAAAAAAGAAAGAAAAAGCCUGCUAGAAUCAAAGAACCUGCAACAAUGUUACUACCACCAUUGAUGAACAAGAACUCCACUUUGUCUAAGUGAAGCAUACAGGUCCAAACACUGACCGUAACUCUUCUCAUACUUGGAACUCCUCUCGCCGGGGCAACACCUCUGCCACCGAUUGUAAUGGCACUCGAGAAAAACCUCGUCGAUCAAACAGAUUGCCCCUGUCUCGAAAAGCCUCGGAAUCAAAUCGAAUUCCGUCCCUUCCACAUCCAUCUUCAUCACCACAAAAUCCUUUUCCGAAAAGGUGUUCUUCAACCAAUUCACAAAAUCAAACCCCUGAAUCCGAUCCACCUCUCCGUUAAACCCCCCCACUGGCUGGAUUCGCCGGCUGAAUCCUCCCCAUUCCUCUCCCUUUAUCCUUCACCUUCUCACCCGGGUCGCCAUUGAUCUCGAAGGACAAUGUCUCGUUCCUCACCCAAGCUGCGUAAGGCAGCAAUGUGACCCCCUUCUUCAACUUGUACUGGUCAUGAAAAGUCUUAUCGGCUUCAAUGGCGAAAACUUCGAAAGUCCUGUUCUGUUUCGGGUACUGCUUCUUGAACCAGCUGCCAAUGCUGGAGCCAUAGCUCCGAGCUCCGACAUCCACGUAAGCAUACCGCUUCUUGAAGCUUAUAUCCGCCAUUGUCGGGAGGUACUUCACGUUCUGUAUGUUCUUCUUCAGAGUAAUCCACGGCUUCAACGGCUCUAUUUCAAUCAAAGGCUCGGCCUUUCUGAUGAGAUCCAUCUUAUGCCCAGGAACUGAGCACUUAUUACCAGCACCGCCACCAGGGUUCUCGGCCCUGUGACCGAAACCCUCACUCUCGCCGCAAUCCUUCCUCAAAACCAUCUCGCGAAUCUUCGGCAUCGGCGGAUCGAAGCCGUCGAUGUCCCGCGAAGUCACGAGCUUGCUGCAAUUGAACAAUUCAAUAAACGAAUGGAAGCUGUAAGUGUCUCUCGCGCCGACGUGGACCACCGCAAACCCUUCGGGCUUCAGCGUCCGCACGAUCUCGGCGGCGACAUCCGCCGGCUUUGGCGACUUCUCGAGCCGUCCUCCGCCGGAGAAAACAAAGUCAAAGCUGUUGUCAGCGAACGGCAAACGGUGCGAUUCGCCGGGAAUUACCAAAGGUCUCGACGCUUUCUUGAAAACACCGACCGCGCCCUUGACGCCGGACUCUCUCAGGGCGUAGACGUCGUGCCCGGCGGGGGUCUCGACGCAGAGCGACUUGGCUUUCCGGGAGAGGAAGCCCUGAGACAUGAGAUCCUGGAACACGGCGGAGUAGAAAUGGACAGCCUUGAUCCAGUCCUUGCUGGUGUAGAGUUCGGGCUUCGUGGACCCCACCGAAAUCGACGGAACGGCUUCUUUUUUUGCGGCGAUGGCCGAACCGCCAGUAUUCGCUAUAACGAAGUUGAGAUUUUCCGGCAGAGAGAAGAAGCAGAAGUUCCCGAGCUCGCACGACUCGCCGGUGACGGUGACGACGUAGGCGAAGCGACAGAGCACGAUCAAAACGCCGAACAAAAAGAACCGUAUAAAAACGUUCUUCAGUAGGCCUGGCUUGCCUGCCGCGGCGGCGCCGGGUUCCAUCUCUGCAAAAGCUAAACCUUUUUCUCUACAAAAACUUGGGGAAAAAAAAAAGAAUCUUUUUCUAUCUGUUUUCGGAAUCGAAAUAAAAAAAUAAAUUGAAUUUGUAUAAAUUUGAAGAAAUCGUAUUGGGGGUUUUUGGGGUUUUGGUUUAGCGGGAGCAGAAUCGGGCGGUGGUGUGGUUGCCGCCGAUGAGGGCUGGUGAUUUUAAGAGGGAGUUGCAGAUCUUGGAGAUGUGAGGGGACGGAGAAGCCAUGGCUGGUAAAAACUUUAUUUCUGUUUCGGCAUGAAUGUCUCUCUCUCUCUCUACUUUAUCUCUCUUCCCUGCUCCCUCUCUCUGAAACUGGGAAAACUGAAAAGACUGCGUUCGACUGUCGGAGAAGAAGGUGCAAAGAGAGAUAAAGAGGUAGAGAAUGACGCGGUCGCACUCGCAAGUUUGGUGACCGGGAGAGCCGGUUUGGCACGCGUGAGAAGAAGAUGCGAGAAUGGCGUUAUAUUUCCAAGAAUAUAUAGAGGGGCUUUACGAGGGCGCUUGCUGAAACUUGAAAUGACGACAUUGCCAUUCCAUCUUGCCCGUCGAUUUGAGAAAACGGGUUUACCCGAAUUACUCUCCUAAUUGCAGUGUUUGGUGAAAAACCUAAUUAAAUUGUUACAACUUAUUUUGUACUUUUAAUUAAGAGUGUUGUUAUUGUCUCGUUCCUUCUUUACAUUUCCCUAACUACUCAAUUAGUGUGACAGUUCCUCCCUCACUUUUUGUUUAGGAAAAUGCGGAAUAAUAGUUCACUCGCCUUUUGUUAAAGGGCGAUUGUUCCGUUAGUUGAUUUAGAAAGAAUACAAAAUGAGUAAACAAGAAAUAGUAUAAGAUGAUUGAGUAGAUAAGGUUGGAUAGAUUUUUUACUAUGUCCGGAACAUGGAGUGGUACACUAUGUGUCACCAUACAAGUGAUGAGAUAUUUGUAUUAAAAAAAUUAACAACUUAAGAAAUAAAUUUUCCAUCACUUAUAUAAUAACACGUGAUGUACCGUUCGUGUUCCAAACACAAUGAAAAAUUUCUCGUAAGGUUGAUAGAAAUACAUUAAAUAUUUUUUUUUUUUUGAUAUAGCUCCAUGUAUUAAUGAGUAUCUUGCUUAAUUCUAAGGUAAGGAUGUGAUAAAUAAUCGAAAUCAUGUACACGUGGCAGAUUGGAACUUGGGGGAAAUGCUGCAUGUGAUUACAAUAAAUAGAUUUCUCGUUAAGUGAGUUGAUUAUAUAUAAAUCCAUAAUUACUUACUCCCAUAGCAAGUAACAAUGUGUUAACUUAUCAAAAAAGAAAGUAAUAAUAUGUUAAGAAUCUUAUGACUUACGUCAGCAAGUUGAUGCAAUAUCAAAUAAGAUCAUAGACCCCCAUUCUGGCUUUUCACUUAUUUGGAUUACGAGGGGUUCAUUUUUUUUUUUUUUAAAUUGCUAUGAGCCAGAAAAAAGUAGACAUUAAACUAAUUUGACGAGUAAAUUUAGAAGAUUGUUUUGUGUAUAAAGAGACAAAGAUUAUAAUAAUUGUUCAAUGACCAAACCUUUAUGCAUUGUUCAAACGUUUAAUCCUUGUAACUCACCUUUUUUUUUAGAAAAACUAAUGAAAAAUACUUGAAAACUUUGAGUUUUAACGAUAAAGACAAAAUAAAGGGUAAAGUAAAUAGUACUAUGAUUGACUUUUUAGUGUAAAAAUAUAAUUUUUCGUUAAAAUAAAUAAUACCAGAAGCUCUUUUCGUUAAAGUUCCUUUUUUUUUUUCUGUCCAGUUUUGUGUGUUUUGGUAUUGCCUUCUCUUUGUUAACAUAACAUCGAGUCAUCUACCCUCAUUGUAAAAUAAAACUUAAAAAGAUUCCCAAGGGCAUGAAUAAAAUUUUGCCUUAUCAAGGGGUAUGAAUUUACAUAAACAAACCUCAAUGUUCUCAUAAUUACCGGAUCAGCCGGUCACCGCAUCCGCAUUAAGCUUUUUGGCGGUGCUACACACGGGGUAAGCAUGGGUGCCAUGCUUAUGGCCGGUGCACAGAACGCCGCACUAGCCGUUGUUGUGAACUUUUUCUGUUUUCGUGAUGUCCUUUUCCUGUCGAUGUUAAUAAGUCAUGUAAAAAUUGACAUGCUUAACUUAUUGAUCUGAGCAAGGUCUAAAAUAUCGAUAUUAUCCCGAUAUUUUCAUCGAAAUUUUUAUGUUUUUGAACUACCGAUAUUUCCGAUAUCAUCGAUAUUUUAGACCUUGAUAGAAACUCUAUGUGGUACUAAGUCACUCAUGUAUCUUACCAUGCAAUAUAUAAAGUGUAAAAUAUUGUACUAAUUCAUUAUAUAUAAAUGAUUAUGAUGUGUUUAAACUUUUUUCAUUAAUUACUACAUAUUUUCUACACUCACAAUGUUUGCCAGCUCGCUAUAUAAUCAACUUAAAUCAGUUAAAUCCAUCAUGCAAUGCAUUUCCUUCCAAUUUUUUGUGAUAAACUAAUAUAUAUUGACUAAAUAAACAUCCUGCAAUGUUUCAAUAAAAAUUUCCAAGUUUUUCUUACAAUUUAUGUGGUUUUAUUCAAUUUUUAUCGAUAUCGAUAAUAUCCCAAUAUUUCUAUCGAAAUUUUCGUGUUUUUUGACUACCGAUAUCAUCGAUAUUUUAGACCUUGGACCUGAGAAAUGGGUGAUAUUCGUGUUAUUUAUGCAUCAUACUCAUUAUCUUAACAGAUUUUUAACGUAACUCGUUAACGAAUUCUUAACGAGUGACCAUAAUAGUUUUGCUUACUUGUUAGACGUCAAAGGUAGAAGGAACAACUGUAGCACCGACACAAGGAUAUAACGACUUGGCUCGUUGAGUUUACCCAAAUUUUGCUAUUUUCGUUUUGUUUUACGUUGAGUUGAUUAGUGGUGCAAGAACUUGUUAGGUCUUUCAGUCUAAUAAGCUCUAUCCAUUAUGUAAUUUGAACCAUUCUCGAGGCUUUGUUUGCCUCGCCAGGUCCACAAGCAUUUUUUAUGUUGCAAUCUGGACUAGUGGAUUGGGAUAGGAUUGUCUUCGAAAUAGGGCUGGGUUCGGUUUGAAACGGUUCGGUUUUUAGUCAAAACCGAAACCGAACCGAAAUUUCGGUUCAGUUCGGUUCAAUUUUUUUCGGUUUUUUUUCGGUUCUGUUUUUUCGGUUUUGAUUUUUUUCGGUUCAGUUUCAGUCCGGUUCGGUUUUUUCCAUGAUUUUUUUUUUUAAUUUGGAACAAAUCUGCAACAAUUGAUUGCAAGCACUGAAGAUGCAGAAACUUAUUGGGUGUUGGUGCAAAUGAAUAUGAACUGGAACAAAUCUGCAAAUCUGCACUGGAAGAAAUCUGCAAAUGAAUACGAACUGGAACAAAUCUGCAAAUGAAUACGAAAAUUACAAUAUAAAAUCCCAACAAAUCUGCAAAGAUUAUAACAUGCAAAAUCCCAACUAAUAAUUAAAAGAAAAACCCAUUUUAAUUCAGUAAAUCACAAUAUAAAAUCCCAACAAAUCUGCAAAUGAAUACGAAAAUUACAAUAUAAAAACCCAACAAAUCUGCAAAGAUUAUAACACGCAAAAUCCCAACAAAUAAUGAAAAGAAAAACCCAUUUUAAUUCAGUAAAUCACACUAUAAAAUUAUAAAUCAUAUUAGUUUUGAUUCGAAAAUUACCUUUGAGAGAUCGGAAAACCCGGAUUCGAAUCUUCCAAUUUAGAGGGGGUUCUGAUUCGAAAGGGGCGAGGGAAAAUCAUGGUUUGGAAGAAAGAAUCCGUGAGGAGGACAUGAGAAGACUGGAGAGAGAGUGAUUUGGAGGAAGAGAGGAAGGAGAGAGAGAGAGAGAGAGAGGGGCUGAGGAAGCAAAGGCAGAGAGAGGAAGCAGCGGAGGGGAGUGUUUGAAAUCUAAAAUGGGAAGUGAGACAUAGUGUGAGACGGCUAGAGUUUGUAAAGUUAAGAAAUUUUAUAAAGCAUUAAAUACAAGAAACCUAUAAAUAUUGUACUGGUACAAUUAUAACAACUCGAAGCCUACAGUCAAGUUGGCUGGCAGCAACUAAUCCCAAGCUAUAGGGAAGGGGUUCAAACCCCGGCGCCAACAUAUUUUUUUAGAAUUUAUAUAUGAUUUUUUUUUCGGUUCGGUUCGGUCCGGUUCGGUUUUCGGACCUCAAAAACCAAAACCGAACCAACCAGAUUCGAUUCGGUUCGGUUUGGCAGUUUCGGUUUGGUUUUUUCAACUUUGGUUCGGUUCGGUUUUCGGUUUUUUGAACCCACCCCUACUUCGAAACAUACCCAUCCAGAUCCUCCUUCUUUACAGUCCGAGUCGACUUCCUAGCUUCCCCGGAGUUUGCGUGGUGGCUUCCCUGGAGUCAGCGUGGUGGCUUCCCUAGCGUUGGUAACCGGCAACAUCAAAGUCAUCUGGAACAAGCAGAAAAAAUGAAGAAAAAGAAGCAGGAUUGAAGAAGAAUAAGAAUUGAAGAAGAAGAUUGAAGAAGAAGAGGAAGAAGAAGCAAAAUUGAAGAGAUGAAAGAAGAAGAAGAAGAAGGAUCUGGAGAGGAUCCUCCCUAGUGGAUUGGCCGAGCCAAUAAAAAAGUUUGUAGCCCUUGUGUUGGGGUUUGUAGUUUGCACACGUAAGAGGUUAAGUGAUAUCAAAAUACAAAUAUAAGUGGGAGUCUGUAAGUUUUAUUAUCAUGAAUCAUAGGGAAGGAGCUAGGUUUUGCAUGUCAGUACAUUUUUUAAUACAAACGAUAUUAUUCUAAACUACUAAAAGGGGAGAAGCAAUAUUUGAACCCCACACAUAAGUGUUUUGAAGAAGAAAAUCGUAAUUAUCAAGACAAUCUAGCAUUUUUUUAUAUGUCAAUUAACUUGAAACAACAUCCACAACAAUACCCAUGACGGGAGGAGCAAUAUUUGAAACCCGCAGGAGCGUUUGGAAAAAAAGUCCUAAUUACCAAGACAAUCUGCUAUUUUUUUUAUAUGUCAAAUAGCUUAAAACGACGUCCACAACAAUACUUAUGCCGGGAUGAGUGAUAUUUGAACCCCAUGCAAAAGCGUUUGAAGAAGGAAUCCUAAUUACUAAGACAAUCCACCUUUUUUUAUGUCAAUUAGCUUGAAACAACGUCCACAACAAUACUUAUGACGGAAGGAGUAAUAUUUAAACUCCAUGCGUAAGCGUUCGAAAGAAAAAGUUCUAAUUAUCAAGACAAUCUACUAUUUUUAUCAAUUAGGUUGAACAACGUCCACAGCAAUACUAAUGCCACAUCGGCUCCAAUUCGUUAAGUGUAGUGUUAUACGACACGUAGUUUGGUAGAUAAUCAGCAUAUCAUUGAAUUCGGGAGAUGAGGCCUUUAUGAAUAUGACCUGGCAAUGGUGUGGGAGGUGUGUUAGGGAUGAGAAUCCGGAUCCUCUUUAUGGGAUCUUAGGGAUUUUCACAUCAUGAUCGUUUAUCGUACAUCGUACGAUCAGUUUUCGUGAAGUACUAUUUGUGUUUAAUUUUAAAUAAAUAAAUUCAAAAUGAUUUAUGACUGCGUACGAUAAACAACUAAGAUGUAAGGAUUCUUAGCAUCUUCACAAUUUGAAUCCGAAUGAGAUCCAAAUCCGGGUAUUAGUGGUACGCGUAGGACAUGGGUGGUCAGGAUGGUUCCCAUGGCAGCGCUGAUGGCGUGGAUAGGAAGUUGGUGCACCGUGGAAGAUGUGGGUCAUGCAAGAAAGAAAGAGCCCAGAAGAGCAAAAGAGUGAGAGGAGGAGGCCUACAUGUCGUAUUAAGUGCAGCGUAGCCAGCGCCGGAAUCAACGCCCUCAUUGACUCGUCGUUUCCCCACACCCCAUCUAACUUCCUAUUUUUUCCUUUGCUUUGGUUGACAUCCCUUCUAUCAAGUUAUGAUUGUAGCAACUGUAAUUUCAUGGAAUUUUUUAGCAUGCUCAAAGGUGCUCUAUAUAUUGUACUUCAGUUUUUGUUCAUGAAUUCUAGAACGUUACUGUAUUUGAUUUUAUUUUUUAGUAUAUCGAUAUUUUUACAUUAAGGAGAUGGGGAGUUCAGAAAAAUCACAUAAUGAACAGUUUAAUUUGAUAUCGAAUUCGCCAUCUACGAGAUUUGAACUUAAGACCUCUCACUUUCAAAUAAAGAGGAAUACCACAAGACCGUAGUAUUAAGUGGUUGACAGAAAAUAUUAUGAAGUUUAAUAAAAUUUUCGAUAAUUUUGUUGUCUGGGACAUUAGUUCGCAUCAUGAAUUUUGUCUUGUAAGGAAUCGUAAUUUUUCUGUCCAACCGACUAAUUAUAUAUUGAUCUAGUAAUACUUCUCAGUCUAAUAUAAAAAAAUUUCUCCGACGAAUAUGCACUGCUCACUCUUAUAGGUUGGACCAAGUAUAGUCGUUUCCUUUUGUUUUAUUUAAAAUAAGUUGUAGAGUUAUCAUCUAGUUUGACCCAAAAAACUAAACAAUUAUUAACAUCCAUGCUAAAGUUAGCAUUGGAGAAGGUACGUUUAUUUUAUGUGCCUUUUCAAAUUUUAACUGGGUUUGUUGAUUAUGUCAUGUCAUCCUAUAAGGCCACAAACAUCAUUCGCUGUUUCUUUCCUUUAUUUUCAUAUAAGUAGGUAUAUGAUAUUCAUAAACAACCUUCCAAAUAUGACAAUUUGAUUCAACAUUAAAUUAAAUAUUUACAUCACAUAAACAAACCACUAGUAAUAUAUCACUUUACUUUUCACAAUUGUAGUUGCUAUGCUUGGUGCUAGUUUCAAAUUGAACUGGAUAAUUCAUUUUGGCUCGUUAUUUAUUACAUUACGAUUAUUUUUUUUCAUUUUGACCUUAUUUGAUAGAUAUUUUUUACGAAAUGAUCAAAAAAAUUGAUGAUGGACAAACACAAGGAUCACUUUUAUCGAUUUCAAAACUCAAGAGCCAGAAUAAAGAGUUAUGUCAAUCUCAUGAACUAUUUUGACUAAAAUACCUUUAAUAUAUGAGUUUAAAAGUAGAGCCAAAUAAUUUUUCAUUUGUGGGAUCGAAAGAGAUAAGAUUUCUUAAUGCAUAAUUCAAUUUUACUUUUUAUGUUUUCCCUUUCUAACAUAUUUUUAACGUAGCCAGUCAGUACUACGGUUUGGUGAUAUUAUUCUUCACUUGGAAGUGAGAAGCCUUCGGUUCAAAUUUUGUAGAUGGCGAAUUCGAUAUCAAAUUAGGCUGACCAUUGUGUGGCUGAGCUGAAAUCUCUCUUUUCUUAAUGUAAAAAUAUCGAUGUACUAAAAAAAAAACAUAUUUUAAACCUAACGAAUCAUCCAAUCCAACGUGAUCAUAACAGUAAACCCGCCCUUUUUGUUUCCACAGUUACCUUCCAUUGAAUCUAAUUCAUUUUUUCUAAAACAUGGCUGAGGAAUCAAUAUUGUGGCUGAGAUGGAGGAUCCCAUGCAGGGACGGAGCCAUUAUAGGCCUAGAGGGGGUGGAUGCUCCCACACAAUUUUUUUUGGGGGUGCAGAAAAAUUGCACAAUUUUGCAUCCCAAUGACCAACCCUAAUUAAAAUAAAAAUUAAACCCUAUAUGUUAAUUGGUAUCAAGGAAAAUGUGCUAAGGAGACUCUUCCAAAAGUGAACAUCUCCAUGAACAUUCCGUCACCUUAUGUUUUUAGUACAAUUCCCGUACCAACAUCAUUAAAUAUUGUGCCAAAAAACAUGAGAUGAUAGAGAGUCCUACUUUGAAAGAGUCUUCUUAGAAUUUCUCUUAGUAUCAAUAUGAUUGACUUCGUUAACAAUGAUUCUAAAUGUUUUGUAUGAAAAACAUUAUAGAUUAAUAUAUAAGUGUUUGUUUAGUAAAUUUUUUUUAGUUUUUUAAUUGUAACUUUGUUGUUUGAGGAUGUUCCCAUCCAUACAAAUGUUUGACUUCGUCCCUGAUCCCAUGCAUGCUUGUGAACAUUUUCAGAACCAUUUGAGGAUGCAUGAAGAAGUCAACAUCACAUUUACCCAUCGAUUAGAAGCAUUUGUACGCUUUCCUUGUUCGGUUAUGUAUUUGUAUGUUACUCGAUCGUUUUUGUUGUUUUGCAGCAGUUGGGACUCGUCUCGUGAUACUGCACCGUUAAACUUGGCCAUGCAUGCAAUUUUGUAUCUAGCAAUACGAAUUAGUGGUUUUGGAGUGAGUUGCUUAAAAAAAAGCAUUCAUGAAAAAAAGCUGUGAGGGUUUUAGGUGUUUGGUAAACUGAAAAAAAAAUGGCUUAUUUUGGAAGCUGCUGUGAGAAUAAGUUGAAAUCAAAAGAAAAAGCUGAAGCUGCUAUUUGUAGCUUUGGAAAACUGGUUUUUUUCCAAAGCACACUGAGCUACAUUGCUCUUUUAAUGAAAAGACCCACUAUCAGACUGCUUUUUUUCUUUUUCAAAAGCACUUUUACAAAAAAGUUUACCAAACACUCUGCUGAUUUAUUUCACAGCCGCUUAUUCUUAUAGCACAGCCACUUAUUCUCACAUCAGUUUUUUUUCAAAGCACAGCAAUACCAAACCAGAUCGAAAUCUUGAGCGGUUACUAUUCUCAAAAAGAGAAAGUUCCAUGGUGGCGAUUCUCACACCCCUUACUUUUGGGAUGGUGAUUCUCUCUCUUCCCUUCUUUUCAGUUUUUAUUCUUCUUUCUCUCUCUACAUUUUUCUUCUUUUUUUUUUCUUUACAAAAAAGAUGAAAUCUUAAGCGUUCAAACAGAAAAAGAGGAAUGAAAUGGUAAAAAGAGAAGAAAUAAUCAUUGUCCUUACUUUUGUGCUUUACUUAUACGUGGGGUCCUCUUUUGUAUAUAGAAAUUCUAUAUAAAUCGACGGAAGAAAAAACCUUAAAUCAAUUAAAGAAAAACCCUAAUCAUCAACUAAAGAUAAAAAGGAAAACUAAUGAAAAAAGUUUGAAAACUUUAAGUUUUAACGAUAAAGACAAAAUAAAGGAUAAAGUGAAUAGUGAUAGAAUUGACUUUUUAAGGUAAAAAUGUGAUUUUUCGUUAAAGUGAACAGUAUUGCAGACUUUUCAUUAAAAUUCCCAAAAUAAAAUCUAAAGGAUUUGUAGUCAAAAUGGUCCAUGAUGUUGACAUAAUAUCUUACUUUGGUCCCUGACAAAGAACAUUGAUAGAAGCGGUCCUUGAAUUUGUCUAGUAUAAAUCAUUUUGGUUAUUUCGUGAAAAAUCUGUCAAUAUCCUCAUUAAGUGGAGGGGUUAGUUUGACAAAAAUAUCGUUAAAAAGAUGGUCACUUGGUCGUUCACGUAACAAUAUAACAAAGAUAUUGAUAGAUUUUCCACGAAAUGACAAAAAUAAUUUACGAUGGACAAACUCAGAUCAUUUCUAUCGAUUUUUAUUUCCAGGAACAAAAUAAAGAAUUAUGUCAAUCUUAGAUAUCAUUUUGGGUAAAAAGCCAAACUCUAAAUAAUCAACUAUGGUUGUGAUCCUUCGCAGGCUCUCGUGUUUACAUCUCCGACAUUCAACGAAAAUUGUAACUUAUAGAUUGGCCAAGUUAAAGUUAUAUUUAGGACAUGAGUCCCUUCAGUUUGUCAAAUUGUAAGGACAACAUGAAAACACAUAGAAUAUGUAAUUUGGUCGCUUGAGUUGCCGGUGAUUGAUGCCGAUGCUUUGUCCAGAUUGCCAAGUUCAUCUGUAUGAAUAAUGAUCAAUUGGAAUUCCUUUCAGCCACUUUCAGGUGUGUGGAUGAGAUGUCUAUGGCUACAAAUGAGUCGGUGUCUGGAUGCCGGUGGCCCUGAGCCAUGGAUUAGCAUUAGAAGGUUUUGGAUGCUGUCACAAGGGCACAACAACACAAGGGCCCCGGGUUUACUAGCGGCCACCCUCUUGACAGCACACCCAGUAACAUGCACAUGUAGGCUAUGGCUGGUCGGUCAUGCGUGUGAGUGAUUUUUUACUGUUUAUGCAUGUGGCAAACAUGUUGACAUUAGCAAAAUCCACAAUUUUGAUAUCUUUCUCGUGCAUUUGUAAGACAUAAUCCAUACAAUUUCUAGUAAGAUACUAAUCCUAACAUUACAAUCAUCAAUGCCUCAUUAAAUCUCCUGAGGGUUUGUAAUCUUUUGUAGAAAUCGUAUGGAUUCAGUCUUAUACAUGCGGAGAAACGUAUUAAAAUUAUUGUUAGAAGGUUGAACGACCUACCCUGGGCCCUGGCCCUUAUUUAACGAACAGAGUUGCGCAUCGCAUGAGUCUAAGUCAACAUGAUUGGGCUUUGCCUAGAAACGCUAUAUUGGGCUUUAUACAUUGUUAUUAUUAAACUAAGGCCCUCAACUGGUUCCAAAUAAUUUUUUAUUUUUUAUUUGUAUACAAUAGAUACUAAAUCAUGGAGAGGGGACCGGGAAGAGUUUAAACCUGAGACACAGUGGAAGACCUCAUUCGUCAAGGUAAUCCAUCACUUGCAUUUCUGUUCGUUUAGAAAAGUUUAGGUCAAGCGUCCGCCAUGUUAUCCAUGUGAAGUGACCGCUUUUAUUACAAAACAUACUCGUACAGAUGACGUGAUCACAUACACCUGACGCAAUAUGUUCUCCAUUGUGAUACUACACAAUUAUGCAAAAUAUAACUGGAAAACGACUGUAUUCUAGAAGAUAGUUGCAAUCACAUGUGAACGUGCUUUUUUCUUUGUGUGGUCUUUCCUUUGGUCGGAAGGAAGAGAUGAAUAUGUCAACACAUGAUGCACUUACCAAUUCAUUUGGUGCUGCUGCGCUCUACUUUCCGCCUUAUACUAAAAUACUAUAUACAUUGACCACCAUAAUACUUCGGAUUAAAACUUGUAGUUAGAUGUCACAUUUUAGUUACAGCGUGCAAUUUCAUUGAACAAAUCAACAUUAAUGUUCAUCUACUAGGAACUGAAAACUAAGACUUCACUAAUUAUAAAUGGUACCUUUUAAUCAUUCAAUUACGAUUGUUUAUCACAAGCAUUUUGAUAUGUAUGCAUAUUUUUCUCGCCUUCUAAUCUUUCAUUUUACUCAAUUAUGUUUCACGUAUGCAUACAAGAAAUGAACAAUAACUACCCCAUAUAGUGACAAUGUAGUUGUUGUUGUUGUCGUAACAAUGAUGUUGUCAAAGAGAAGUAUGUGAUAAAAAGCCAAAAAGUAGGUAAUAGCUACACCAUAAUAGUGACUAAUGCAUUAUAAUAUAGUUUAACAUCAUUGUUACCCAGCAACGUAAAACAAAUAGCCACUAUAUGUGGUUACUCUUGUUCACUUUUCUUGCAAUGACGUUUAACGCAUUCUCGACCCUCCUUGCAAGAUGAAUGUCUAAUUGCAAUCAAAAUAAGUUGAGCCCUGGUUUCAAAUAAAUAUGAUAUAGUAGCGACAAUUGUUUACAUAUAAAACCUCAAAACGCACAUGUUGAUCACAUAGUAAUAUUUCACAUGCAUCAAUGAUAAAGUCACUCACUGUCUGUCCUAAUCUUGAUUUGUACAAAAACAAUCAUCAUCGAUCUAGGAAUCAUCUGGAAUCAGUGGCCUGCAGUCACCAAGGAAGUUAGUUAGUUAGUUACGAUCGAUCGGCAGUGCACCAACCAACCAUAUAAGUGCACCACUCACCCAAUCAAUCUAUGCCACGUUACACCAUUUGCAAUUUUACCCCAGUCACACACGCAUUCAAUGGUUCACUGAGGCGUAAGCGCGGUGUUUCCCACGCGGCACGCCAGACCGCCACCAAAACAAAACGCUGACUUGUCACUAAUCACUAUAAAAUCACCCGGCAAAACUCCCUUCCUUUCCUCCAGUUCCAAUUCAUUCCCCAGCUGAAUCAAUGACCAACCAAGACGACACGCCCCCGAUACACGAAGAACGGGCAGCCGGAUCACCGCCGCCAGUUGUUCCCACGGCUCCACCGGAAAAUGAUGUGGAGAACCAGACCCAGUCCCACGCCAGGACUACUGGGACGGGGAUUGGCGUCGGGGGAAUCCUGCGGCGGUGGAAGAGGGAGGACUUGUUGAGGAGAGGCUCUCUGGCUCUGAGGGGACUUGCUCUGGUUUUUUCAUUGCUGGCCUUCAUCAUCAUGGCCAGCAACAAACACGGUCACGGGAACAAUUUCGACGAAUAUGAAGAAUACAGGUGAGGAAUCAAAUUCGGUGAUUAUUUGUUAAUCUGAAUAUCUGUUGUAAUUAAUAAAUAUUAAAUUAUUUUUUUAUGAUUUAAUUUGAUAGGUAUGUGUUGGCUAUAGCGAUUCUGGCGACGUUGUACACAGCGCUGCAAUCAUUCAGACAUGCACGCGAGCUUUCCACCGGAAGAGAAAUGUCUCAGCGACGGACGUCGGCGUUGGCUGACUUCAUCGGCGAUCAGGUAAUUUGUUUAUUAAUAUCCUUCAUUUUUCUAAAACUUGUUUAGAAUUUUUUAAUGAAUACGCGUAAGCUAAGAAAAGAAGGUUCUCCUAAAAGUCUGACUACAAAGCAGACGUCCAUAAAUAUAUUCAAAUUUUUUGUCAAAUAGUUUUGAGAGUGGCAUCACUUUUUAUUUCGGUUCCUAAUAUUUAAACUUGAUAAAAGUGGUUCAUGAGUUGUACAAUAUUAAUUAUUUUGAUCAUUCCGUAAAAACUUUCUGUUUAAUCAAACUAAAGUGACAAAAGUACACUCAAUUUUUGUCAAAUCACAACGGCGUAUUGUUUAUUAAAUUGAUAAUACUUUGUCAUUUUUAGUCCUUAUUUAAUAGAAAUUUUUUCACGAAAUAACCAAAAUGAUUGACGGUGGACAAACUUUGAGAUCGCUUCUAUCGAUUUCAAAUCUCAAUGACUAAAAUGAGGAGUUAUGUCAAUUUCAGAAAUUAUUUUAGCUAAAACUGAGAAGGAAAUUGGUGAAAGGACCAUGACUUUUCGUAUGAGUACCAACCACCACUUAACAAAACUAGAAAUGCAAAUGAAACAAUUGACAAAAAAUUGAUUUGUGAGUUGAUGGUGUGCUGCAGAUUAUGGCCUAUCUACUGAUAUCAUCGUCAUCAUCGGCGAUUCCGUUGACGAAUAGAAUGAGAGAAUAUCAAAACAACCUAUUUACAGAUGCUGCAGCAUCUGCCAUUAGCAUGGCCUUUCUUGCUUUUGUUGCUCAUGCACUAUCGGCUAUAAUUUCUGGUUACAAAUUAUCGACUCAAUCUUACAUCUGAUAGAUUAUUACGAGCUUUUCUUCAUAUUUGUAACAAAAUGUGUUGUAAUUAGGUGCGCAUUAAUUCCUCUGCUUAUUGGAGUUCAGUGUUCAUAUUUGGUUUUGAGGUGAUUUCCUCAUUUUAGAUUAGGGUUUAUGAUGUGAAUAAUAUGAUGAGAUAUGUAUCUUGUUUUACACAUGAGUAUAAGAGAUAUAUACUUAUUGUUGAUUGAUUGUGGGUUGAAUCAUCGUAUUCUAACGAUAUGUAUGUUGAACAAUUGAGUGGCUUUCUUUAUUUAGAGUUGAAGUUUCUGAAGUCACUUACAAUGGGAUGUGCCUAUGUAGGGCCGGAUCCACUCUAGCUCUCUGUGUCCGGAGUAGUCGGAUUUGGAUAUUCGAACCGCUCAAUUUAAAUUAUACAGUCCUCAUUAGCACAUUUCAUUAGCCCAUCGUACAGAAAAGGAAAUCUUUAUGAACGGUUCGGAUCUCUCUCUCUUCAAUGGCCUGGAUUUCUAGAUUCAACUGCUCUGGACAGAGAUUCGAAUAGGAUCUCAACUCUCCAAAUGCAAAGGUUCAUUCCUUUGUGAGAGUCACAUGAUCAACUACGUACUAAUGAAUUUUGUGACAUGAUCAACCAUGUACUAACGAAUUUUUUCUUAGUGAGGUUGAGUUGUACAAAAUUAUAUGACUUCUAAAACUCUAAAAAGUUGGACUUGGAACGCUGGCAGACAUCGUAAGGCUUUGUUGUUAUAUUUUGUAGAUGUUAAGGGUUCUUCAAAAGCCUAUUACGGAAAAACAGAAACAAUUUGGUCUGUCCAUUAUUCAGGCAGCCCAUUAGGAUUGGAUUGGCUUUUUCUUUAAGCACUUUUGGAACUUAAACAAAUCCUAAUUCAUAUCAUUCAACUUGUUACUUCUCUUCAGCUUAGACUAAGAAUAAACAAAUGCAAUACUACCAGUCUUUACAUAAUUACUACAUAGGAACUAUACAACAAAAUGUGUCGUCAUUCGCUUCCUUGGCCCCGAAGACACAUCCUCGUGUAACAUCAUUUCCGAUUUGCAGCGCUCUCAAUUCGCUUUCAGAACUCAGAAAAUCCAUAACUUCCUGCACUCUGCAUUUUGAGUGUAUACGGCGGUUGGCUUUCAGUGGUUGCUGGCUGCCUUGCGUUCUGAAGAGAGUUGAGGUAGCUCAAAUUAGAAUGGUUAGGCAAUGGCAAGGGCCUCACAGCCAUGGACACAUUGUUGCUGUUAUUAUCGGCAGCAGGUCUACUUGCAUUGCUAUAAUUCCCGCUGCCUCGUGCUGCCGGAACAUCGUGGUUGUGCUUCCCUUCGUACGUGGUGAUCACCGCCCUUGUGUCCUGCGAUGCUCUUUCCACAUGCUUCCUCACUGGACAACCUACGGACGUGCAUUUGUAGUAGCUCCUGAAGAUUGGAAAGCAGUUGAAAAUGUUAAUUAGCAGCUAAUUUCAAAAGGGGUUGCUUGUAGUUAAACACAUUGAUAGGGUUUCUACCUUGGAUUUGGAUUUCCCUUCACUACUUUCUGUCCAUAUUUCCUCCACCUAUACCCGUCAUCCAGAAUAUCGAUUUCGCUCGUUGUCUGCACUACAAUUCUCGGUUCUUUCACAAUUCUACCGCCAGAAGAUGCAUAUGACUGAUCAUUUGCAUUGUCUCCCUUCCUGCUAAAUACGAUAAAUAAGUAAACAAGAUUGAAUUUUAUAAAAAAAAUUCUACGAACACAUACAAAAUUGGCAAAUCCAGUCAGAAAUUUGUAUGAGCUUACCAUCUUUUCGCCUCAGGUUCGUUUUCAUCUUCAGCUCCUACUGAAUUACUUAUCGGAGAGUUUUGUUCAAACUCAUCCUCUCCAAUUGAGGUAGAAGAAUCCUCCUGUAGUGAGACGGACUCAACUUUCGGAUUGGAUAACGUCGGAACGGAUUGAUCAGAGAUUCCAUAGAAAGAACCCUGAAUCGAGUUGGAGCUUGAUCUUCUUGUAGACUGAGGCUUAGGAUGGUUGUGAUUACCCUUGUACACAAUUUGAGUAAUCUGUCCAUCCAAUGAUCUCUCAACCUUCUUCUUUGUGGGGCAAUUCGGAAACGUGCACUUGUAAUAACUCCGCGGAUUUUCGCUACCCUUCACUUGUUUCUGCCCAUACUUCCUCCAAUUGAACCCGUCAUCCGAUUUUUGUUCUCGAGCAUAUUGCGAACAUUGAUUAGAAUGCAAGUAAUCGGACUUUGGAGCACCAUUAAGUCCAUUACUCUGCGUAUUCGCUUCAAUUGGCUCGAAUUCGGACUUCACUCCCGUCUUCUCAGCACUAAAAUCCCAUGCUUGCCUUUCUCCUUUGAAUGGUUCUUCCUGUUCAAACGAAAACGAUCAUUAAGCUACUAAUAUCGCCUAAUCCUCUAUUUUAUCGCAGUUAAAAAAAUAAAAUAAAAAAAUAAAAAGCUUCCAACUUUAAUUAACUAGUAAAAAUAAGCAAAGAGCUCUUACCACUGAAACCAUGCUAGAAGAAGAUUGAAGAUUAGUAGCAGGCCUCGAUUCCGGUUGGAACGAGAAAUCGGAGAACAAUUUCGGCUCCUCUUUAUCCUUAAUUCCUUGCUGGGUGUCUUUAGUAUUAUUCAUCCAAUCGAAAACCUGACUCGAAAAAGCUCCUGUUGUUGGAGAUUCAAGAUUCUGCAGAAAAAGAAAAGAAAAAAAAAACCAGAAAACCCAUCAAUAAACACACAAAAAAGAACAUAAAAAACCCAUCAAAAAUUUAAGAUCGUAUAAAUUUUAUAUAUCUUACAUAUGAGGAGGAGAGGAACAUGGGUGAGCUGAGAAAAUCGGUGGGACUAAAAGCCGGCGUGGAAGUCAAGUAAGAAGAAGGGGAAACAGGGGGAGGAGAGAGAGGCAGAGAAGGAGGCUGGAGUGACUUGAACUUGGGGAUAUCAGUCCCGUUUCUGUCCGCGAACCGGUUCGGAUUAGAAGAAUAGUCCGAGAAUAGUCCCCCCCAAUUAGUCCUGUCCUGUCCAAUCCCGCUGUUCUCCAUGUUGCUUGUGAGGAGGUGAGUGAAGGAAGAAGUCAUGUUUUUUGCUUCUGGGUUUGAGAGGAAAAUGAGAGGGAUGAGGAUAGCAAUUUAAAGGGUUGAAUGCAAGUGACAUAUGUAGGAGAGAGAGGAGAGAGAGAGAGAGAGAGAGGGUAUUUUGGUCACUUUGGGAUGUUUCUAGGAAGCUCAGUGAAAAGUUUGACCGUGGAAAAAUGGAAGAACUGGUCAAAUAUUGUGGGUUUGACUUGACUGCUCAGAGUGCCCACGUAAGACUGGGUGGUGGCUCAUAAUGCACAAGCUAGGAUGACAAUUUAGGAAUAAGAUUCUUUCUGGAUUCUUUUUGUAGAGAUUUGGAUAAUCAAUCAAUUUUGUUCAUUUAUUAUACAUCGUGCGAUUAGUUUUCAUUAGGUAAUAUUUAUAUUAAAUUUAAAAUUUAAAAUGAUUUUUAACGUACAUCGUGUGGUUAGUUUUCGUUGAGUAUUAUUUAUAUUCAAUUUAAAAUUUAAAAUUUAAAAUAAUUUUUAACAGCACGAUGUACAAUAUACAGACAUGAUUGAUUAAUUUCCGGAUUUCCACAAACGGUUAAAUUCGGUAAUCGACACAAACGGUUUGGUUUUAGGAUUAAAUUUUGGUUGCUUCACGGUUAUGGUGGGUGGCUCAUUAUGCACAGGUUCCUCCUCUGAUGCGAUUAGAUAUGGCGGCUUCGCCACCCUGUGCGUUCCAAUCCGGCAACUGCCACCUUAACUUGUGAAAUUUGCGGAGCUUGGUUGAACGAUGAAGUUGUCGGUGGCCUUGGUUUGAGUAUCACAAUCCUCCACAGAGAUUAGCUGAUAUUGUGGUUUCAUUCUCGGAGUAGUUGCAGCAAUUUUGUUGUCUCGUCUAACAAGCGUUGUGAUCGUGCUUUUGAAAUGGUUGUAUGUGGUUGUCACCCAUGUGCGAUGAGUUAUGUGGUACUAUCUUUCAAUGAUGAUUUUAUGUGGUCUUGCUCUUCUGCGAUGAUUUUAUGUAGUCUCGCUCUUGAAUGAUCAUCAGUUUGCACACUUUAUAUUUGUUGUGUCUAUCAUUUUUGUGACAAAACUAUACUGGCAGUGUUUGUGCGUAUAUGCUUGUGGUAUCCAUACAAAGAUUUUACUCUAGUUGUUUAAUUGUGUAGGUUCAUUAUAGAUCAUUUACUCGGUCACUAGAGCUAUGUAAAUUCACACUUGUGUAUUUGUUUAUGUUGAUCAAUGAAUACAACUCUAUCGUUUCUUAUAAAAAAAGUAACAAAAUAUUUCUUUUUAAGAUUAAGAACCAAAGAAAACAAAUGAAGACUAAUGUGGACCAAACAUAAAAAUUAAGGGAGUUUUAAUGAAAAUGACCUGACACUAUUCAUUCUUAAUCAAAAAGACAUUUUGUGUAUGAAAAGUCCAUAAUUUUGUGUAUGAAAAGUCCAUAAUGGAUCGGGCUCUUUUCUUUAUUUACUCUUAUGCCAUUACAGCGGGGUCCAUAGUGAUGUUGACAUUUCUGUCUGGGAAUACAUCAUUUUACAUUAUGCUAUUAAACUUAUGCUAAUUUACAGCUAGCUCUUCACGCUUCCAUCAUGUUGUGGAUGUUAUGCAGCUCUUCUUCUGUCAAAUUAUUUCAAUAUUGUUCAUCGCCUUCUACUAGCUCCGCAUCUCUUUCGAAUGGUUGAGAUAGUGGUGGUCUGUAUGGGAAGAAAAGCUCCCUUAUAUACAAAUCCUAGAGUAGAAUAACGUUCCAAUAUUUACAACUUUUUGAAUAGUGACAACACACUGUUUCUGAAAGUUGUCAGCACUGUUUCUGAAAGCUGCAUGUCAUGUCAUGUGAAUUUAUGUUGUCUUGGUUGCUGCAAUGUUUGCCACAUUUUCUUUUGCAUGUGAAUCCAUGUUGUCUUGGUUGUUGCAGUGUUUGCCACAUUUUCUUUUGCAUGUGAAUAUGUUGCUUGAUUUGUCUCCUGGUGCACAAUUUUUUGCAUGUGAUAUCCCUGAAAUGUUUUCUCCCUUAAAAAUACUCUCUCCCUUGUCUUCUUUUACAUGCCCAUUUUGGGUAUUAUUGAAAUGUUUUGUCCUUAUGGUUAAAAUGAAAGUUUUUUUGGGGGGGGGGGGUUUGGUUAGUUUUCCAAAAAAUUAAAGGGGAAAAUUGGUAAUGAACUCUUAUUAUAAUACUUUGCUUGCGACCCUUUACUCACCAAUACUCCAACAUAGAGAUUUUAUAUUUGUCUUAUUUGGUUCAUUUUUUAAUUUUGCACUUUUCUUUGCUAAUUGACAAUACCACCUAGUUAAGCUUUGAUUAUUGCUUCAUUUUUUAAUGAUUGAUUAGGUCAAGGAAAACAUGAAAUAAACAGAGUGUUGCUACACCUACCUUAUUGUCCUAUUUUUCACCCACUUCGUAAUAAAAAUAUUAGUGACAUAUUUAUGCUUAUAGAAAACGACUUUUAAACCCCUAUUUAUAAAUUCAUUAUAGAACAAUACUUGAGUAAUCACCAACGAGGCAUUUUUAAAAAUCCUUUAAACAUGCAACCAAACACCUCCUCCCUCUUUCAAACUCGGUGAAAUUCAUGCAACUCACCUUUUCUCCCUCUUCCUUCGCCUACACCAACCAGACCUUCCAUCGUCCUUUUUCACCACCGACGUCGCUGCAAAAGUCGAUUAUAAAACAUAAAGCCGUAUUUUAAAGUCAAAUUCGCAGCGGAUUUCAUCUCUAUCAAUCUCACUAAGAAAGUGGAGUUGAUGGUUGGAGAAAAGAUUAAGGUAGUGUUAACAGAGGAGAGAAGUUGGAGGAUUGGAGGGUGGAUUUGGGGGUUGCCGGAGAAGAGAGCAACUGGUGAUGUUGCUAGAUCUCAAUGGUGGAGGGUGGAUUGGGGGUGAACGCUGGAGAAAUGAGGGACUCGGGGUAGGUCGCUGAAGGAGUCGGGGUGGGUCGUCGGAGAAUAUUGUAAUAUUUAAUAGUCAUUCUUCCAAAAAUUUUAAAAGGAAUUUAGAUAUACCAUUUCAAUUUUUUAACAUUUUAGGAUGGACGGGAUUAUAAUGCAGGUGAGAAAUAAGAUAAUGUGGUGGGUCUAGCAUCACUCAAUAAAUAAAAUGUAAGUUCAAAUUAAAUACCAAUAUUAUAAAGUUUUUUUUUUAACAAACAAUAUUAUCUAUACUAAAGGGUGGGGAGCGAGUUAAGCCUCAUAAUGAGAUAACAAUAACCUAAGAAAUGGUGGGCAAAUACACUUAUAAAGCAUAUAAACGUUUAUAUUUUUGUCUCCAUUGCACAUCACCCACAUACCACUGGUGCAAGUGCAAGAAAUUAUCGCCAUCGUCACUGUUGCCGAAUUUGUUGUUCGAUUGUCGUAAAUUUUAAGUUAUUGUUGACCAAUGAUUUAAAAAAAUAAUAUGUGUAAUUUUUUCACCUUCAAUUAUGUUUUGUUGUGAGUGUAUUGUUUUUUUUUUUUUUUUUUUUUGCAUGUAUGCAUAAUAAAAUUGGAGAACUUAUCAAAAUUUCAUUACUUAACAUAUUUUUUUAAGGUCACUUUUGGACAGUAAAAUUAAGAUUGAAAAUUUUGAUCAGCUAAAAUUUGAUCAACCGAGUGCAGGAAAAAGUUGGUAGGAUUGAGUGGUAAUCAUGUAAUUAUUUUGAAUUACAGUAGUAUUUAUAGAAUUUUUUUAGUUGAAUUUCUAUUGGAAUGUAAACUAGAAACAUGAUAUUUUAGCUAAAAUUUUUCUUAGAGUAAACUAAAAACGAGGUACUUUAGCUAAAAAAAAUUCUUAGAAUUGGGAAUUAAAUUUCACCGGAGAAUCACUGCUACAGAUAUAAUUAAUAGGCGCCCCUUGAACAAAAUGGGUCGUAGUGUAGUGGUUAGCACUCUGGACUUUGAAUCCAGCGACCUGGGUUCGAAUCCCGGCGAGACCUUUUAUUUUUUGUGACAGCUACAUUUAGUUAUUGAUUAGGCUCGUUGAGAUUGUCAGGGUGUUCAUAGAAAUAAAGAAUUAUUUGGUCAUGAGAAUCCUCAUGGGAAACAUUUCAAGCUAAGGAGAAAUGAACGUAAAAGGAAAUGCGAGGAAAAGUAAGAGCAUUACUUUUUACUUUUCAUCUAUGUACUCAUCAUACUAUGCAUGUCAAUGCACAUAAAGAUAUGUAUAAAUAUUUUAACUUGAAGAAGUUCACAAUCUCUUUUAAUCCAUGUUAAUUAUGCACCAAAACAGUAAUGAAACCAAACUUAUACUAUUUACGACAUACGAUUUUUGACAUUUCUACUUUUCCACUCUUCAUCUUUAACCAUAUGCGGGUCAUCCACAUUGUUACAACAAUAAGGAUAAUAUUUAGGGCAACAUUAUGCAUAUUCCCUUUUGUACAAAGGCCAUCUCAUCUCUCAAGUUAAUGUCCAAAAUAACAUCACAAGAACCAAAACGCAUCAGUUAAUAAAGUAUAAUUACAUGACUAACUAGAAACGAAAAAAGCAGUAUACAUGGAGCAAGUUGAGGAUUCUGCCUCCUUUACAAUGUAAAUACUCCAACCAAAAACUUCUCAAAUAAGCAAACGAUUACAGAGAGCAUUUUCUUUUUAAUAUAGUUCGCUGGAAACCCGCUUUAUCAAGUAGACUAACAAAUAAUUUGUUGGCUCCUCCUAUAACCAAUGCGAGCCUUCUUUCCUUCCACCUUAAAGCCUGUUUGCUCAGUGCAAUUUUGAGAAAUGGGUUUGCAGUUUUUUAUCGAAAAUUGUUUUAUCCGAAGCUUUUGGAGCAAUCUCAUUUGUUUGUUAGCCAUUUGAAGCUAAACUCAACCUGAAAUUUGUAAUAUUUUCAUUUUUCAAUUUACAUUUUUUUUACUAGGAUUUUUUAUAAUUGAUUAUAUGACAUGGUCACCGAUACUUAUUCGAAGUUGACGUUCGAAAUGUCAAUACAAUCAGUGUUCGAAAUGUCAAUACAAUCAGUGUUGUAGAGCGCCGAUUAUAAAGAAGAUUUGAACAUGUUGAUUCAAGAACAAAGUGGCAACAUAAAGAGAGCGAGAGAAGAACUAAACAUAUACAGUGGGUUGGUGUCACCCACCAUGGAAGGUUUGUUCAACGCUAUCGAGGGCUUGUUUGAGGCGUUCACACUGUUGAGGUUCACAAAAUACAGCAACAAAGUCUUUGUAACUGAACAAAAGAAGAGAAGCCUUCACUUACCUAGUUAAUCCGCAUUUGUUACCCUAAACAUUUGUCACAUGACAUUUUAAUCCUUUUUCUAAUUCAAACAUGUCGUGUUCUUCGUUUAAUAGCACACUGGCUCCUUAUGUACUCAAACAUUCCCUACUCUUUACCCGCAAGAAUUUUCCAACAUCCCAAAUAAUUUUCUACUCUUCACUGGCCCCCUUCUAUACUCAAACAUUCCCUACUCUUGACUUACAAGAAUUCUCUAACAUCCCAAAUAAUUCUGUACUCUUUACUUGCAAGAAUUCCCUCGUCUAUUGAAUGAUUUUUCUAAAUGUACUAAAAAAAGAUCAAAUUUAGUUUACUCCAACAUUCCAAAUAACAAGAUGAUAACCAAAUAAUAAGGUAGAGAGAAAAUGAUACAAUCAUACAAAUAAUUCUAUAGUCUCAAUUCAUACUUUUUCUUGCGACGCCUUCCUCAUGUGAUUCAAAUGAUCGGUAUUUUACAACAGGGUGUUUUUUCCAGCCAACAAGAACACCAAGUCGGCAACAAGGGUAAGGGUUUAGAGACAGGUCAAAACCUGUUCUGAUACCAUUUGUCACAUUCCGGUCCAGGACGGACCACUUCCUAGGCCCGCUCCACCACCGUAACACGAUAUUGUCCGCUUUGGGUUCCGACCACACCCUCAUGGUUUUGUUUCUGGGAACUCACGAGCAACUUCCUAGUGGGUUACCCAUCAUGGGAGUGCUCUGGUCACCUUCUUGCUUAACUUCGGAGUUCCGACAGAACUCGGAGCUAGUGAGCUCCCAAAAAGCCUCGUGCUAGGUAGGGAUGAGAAUAUACAUUUAAGGAUCACUCCCCUGGGCGAUGUGGGAUGUUACAAUCCACCCCUCUUAGGGGCCAAACGUCCUUGUCGGCACACUUCCGGCUAGGGAUUGGCACUGAUACCCAGAUAAAAGUGUUUAGGGUUUGAAUUGUAUGUUUAUUCUUUUCUCUAGGAGGUAAAUAUAUAGUUGUACAAUAUCCCACAUAAAAAGAAAUAAGUAUCCCAAUUAUACAAGGAAUAAAUUAUAAGAUUACAUUCCUAAACUAAAUUGUUGACUCACGCCAACAGGCUCCUCCUAUAACCAAUGCGAGCCUUCUUUCCUUCCACCUUAGAGCCUGUUUGCUUAGUGCAAUUUUGAGAAAUGGGGUCCCAGUUUUUGAUCAAAAAUUGUUUUAUCUGAAGCUUUUGGAGCGAUCUCAUUUGUUUGUUAACCAAUUGAAGCUAAACUCAACCUGAAAUUUGUAAUAUUUUCAUUUUUCAAUUUACAUUUUUUUUUACUAGGAUUUUUUAUAGUUGAUUAUAUGAUAUGGUCACCGAUACUUAUUCAAAGUUGACGUUUGAAAUGUCAAUACAAUUAAUGUUGAAGAACGCCGAUUAUAAUGAAGAUUUGAACAUGUUGAUUCAAGAACAAAGGUGGCAACAUAAAGCGAGCGGGAGAAGAACUAAACUUAUACAGAGUGCGUUGGUGUCACCCACUAGUGGGAAGGUUCGUUCAACGCUGUCGAGGGCUUGUUUGAGGUGUUUGCACUGUUGAGGUUCACAAAAUACAGCAACAAAGUCUUUGUGACUGAACAAAAGAAGAGAAGCCUUCACUUACCUAGUUAAUCUGCAUUUGUUACCCUAAACAUAUGUCACAUGACAUUUUAAUCCUUUUUCUAACUCAAACAUGUGUUCUUUGUCUAAUAUCACACUGGCCCCUUCUAUACUCAAACAUUCCUUACUCUUUACCUACAAGAAUUUUCCAACUUCCCAAAUAAUUUUCUACUCUUCACUGGCCCCCUUCUAUACUCAAACAUUCCCUACUCUUGACUUACAAGAAUUCUCUAACAUCCCAAAUAAUUCUCUACUCUUUACUUGCAAGAAUUCCCUCGUCUAUUGAAUAAUUUUUCUAAAUGUAUUAAAAAAGAUCAAAUUUAGUUUACUCCAACAUCCCAAAUAACAAGAUGAUAACCAAAUAAUUCUAUAGUCUCAAUUCAUACUUUUCUUGCGACGCCUUACUCAUGUGAUUCAAAUGAUCGGUAUUUUUAAGGUAAAAAUAAGGGGAACGUUUACUCAUCACUUUCAUACAGCAAUCUCAUAAAUCAAACUCAUCCGGAGUCAUGCUCCAAAUAUCACAAUAACCAAACUCAUUAGUUGAUAAAGUACACGAGUUACAAGGAAAAUGAACAUUUAACAUAGCAUCCAAACCGUCCAUUCAUUAAACCUUUUCGAUGGAUUUGGUAAGAUUGGUGCCAAAGUCUACAGCUUACAUAGAAAAGCCAUUGUGUCAAGGUUUCAGAACUUCAAAAACUUACAUCCAGUAAGCUGUGACAAAUAAAAGAAAAAACCAGUACUAUACAUCAAGCAACACGGGGACUUUGCCUUCUUAACAAGAGUCUAAAAAUACUUAAAAACAUCUCAACCGAAACAAUCGUGGGGAAAACUCAUUGCAUGAUAUCUUCUAAUUGUAUUUUCCAACACUGAGGGUCCAAUUCAGCCUGUCAAUAAUACAAACUGAAGUUAAUAAGACAAUCAAGUACAAUCAACAGACAAAUAUUAUGAGUUCUCUAGCAGGGAUAUUGGAUCGAAGGCACAAAUCUGAGUGCAACGAACAUGUAACUUGAUUAUUGUUUGUUAUCGAAUCACAAUUUUUUUUCAGUUAUGUCCUAGAUCUUUAAUGACAUCAGACUAAACAAAUUUUCUGGAAAGUUAGCAUCUUCGUAGCUUUAAUGAUUAAAAAGUAAAAGCACUUACCCUGAAGAACUUAUUUCUCCACUGAAAUACACAACCGCGUGCUUCUAAAUGUUCGUAAAGAGCUUGGGGUAGCAAUGACUUGAAGGUUGCUUGGAGCUUUACUUUGGUUAGCCCCCCACAGGCCAAUAAGGCAGCUGCCAGUCCACUAGGGCUCAAGCCCUCCAAGUGCAGGAUGGUUAAGCUCUGUAGGCAACUGAUACUGCCUAAGGAUAAUAGCCCCACAUCUGUAACUGAGGUAUAUGACAAAUUAAUCUGCAAGACAAUAGGAACGGUCUGGUAAAAUACAAGUGUCUCUAUCAAACUGUAAGCUCACAUGAAAGCAAGAAAUGAGAAAGCGUACUUGUCUAAGGUUCUGAGAAAAGUGAGCAAGCAGGAUCAUUCCAGCAUCAUCAAUAUUUGAACACUUCUUUACAUCCAGCUUGGUCAGUUGCUUGCAUCCCACAGCAAUUGCUGCUAGACCCAGAGAUGUGAUAAGAGGACAUCCUCGACUUUCAACAGUGUUCAGACUUGAGCAUUUUGACAACGAGAUUAACGAACUAUCAGUAAUAUCUUUGCAAUAGGCUAUGUUAAUAACCUCAAGUCCAGGACAACCUCUAGCAAUAGCUGAUAUGCCUGAAUCUGAAAUUCCUGUGCACCUAAAGAAAACAAACACAUUCAGAUUAAUUCCUGGUCCAGUCAGUCCAUGAAUAGAUGUUUACGCAAACAAAUAUUUGGCACCAACACAGAAGAUCUUGUAGAGAAGUUCGGAUUUGUUUCCUAUUUGAAUUAGUUAGACUUUUGACGACAUAGAUUAGCAUGCUUUGAAAUCAAUGAGACCUUAGAUUAAGCAUUCAAUAGUUUCUCUGGCAGACUGUAUAACAUUGUUGCACUUGCAUGACCUACACGUUUCUGUGCACAAAGGGAAAAUGAAAGGAUAAAAAAAAAUUACAACGAAGGUUCAACUGUUCAAGGAUCACGAGCUACACACCUGUAUAGAUCGAGCUCUACUAGUUUUGAACAGCGCAUGCCAAUGUUCACAACGCCGUCAUUAGUUAUGUUCAGGCAAAUUCCUACUUUUAAGCUGGAGAGGUUGGAACAUCUAGAAAUGGACUUCAGACCUGCACAUAGAAGCUACAUAAGUAUGCAAUUAAAACAGCAGUUCUUUAUUACACUGAGGUUGAGCGAGAGAAAAACCUUCGUCGUCGACUUCAUUAUCUGUUAUGUCAAUCUCCUCAAGAGUUUGGCAUCUCUGUCCAAUAAGGACAAAUGCUUCUCGAGGAACCAGGGUACAUGACUCCAUCCUAAGAGAAGUGAGUGCGGUACAUGAUUCUGACAACUGGGCAAUAGAAGCAUAAGUUAUCUUUCGGCAGCAUGUGAUAUCUAGCUUCUGCAAAUUCUUGUGCUUUUUCAAAAUAGAGGAGAGACCCUCAUCAGUCACCCCCACACAUUUACUUAAGCUCAGCUCCCUUAGAGAAAUGCACCAGUUUCCGAUGGCUUUUAGUCCAGCGUAGGUAACCAGGCAACCAUCUAAUUUGAUUGACUGCAACGUCGGAAGCUUUCCCAAGCUAUCGGCAAGAGCAAGAGUCACCUGAGCACCAGUGCCACCACAGUGCAACGUGUGAGUUGAGAAAUCAAGCUGUUAACUAUUAAAAAGACUCAACGAAAGUCAAUACUUACAGGAGAGCCAUAUGACAAUACGAGUUGCUCUAAACAUCCGUCACUACCGCUUGUUAGGGCAGACAACCCAACAUGACUAAUGUUCUGACAGCUAGAUAUGUCAAGUUUCUGUCAAUGGUAAUAACAGCAUGUGUCAAAAUUUGUCGAAACAGAAAUGUUAACUCUGACGAGUAACUAGCACGAAUUGUCUAUUACACUGAAUAGCAUCAAAUUUAAAUAUCGUCCCAACAAAAUAAUCUCGAGUAAUCAGAAGAAAUAUAAUCAAAGAGUCAAAGUUUUCAAUUUUUUAAUCGCACAUAUGACAACCCCAAUCCAAUCUUCGGAUGUUAUGUUAAAUAGAACCAGCUAAUCAUAUCAAUAUAUGAUUAAAACAAGACGCUAAGAAAACAGGCAAUCUCGAACCGAACCAGCUAAAGCAUAGGUAUACCUUAAGUGACUUGCACCCAUGUUUGAAGGCCGAAAGGCCAUCAUCAUCGAUACUGAAGCAUCCUUCUAGAACCAAAUCUUCAAGAUAUUGUAACUCGAAGAUCGAUGGCAAGCAUCUAUCUGUGAUCUGCAGCAAAUCAUGAACAAACAUAUCACUAUGCAGCCAUUAAAAAUCAUUAAAUUUGACAAAGACAAUCCAAAAGCAGGGUGCCUUUCAAAACAAAACAAUAUUAAAUAAAUAAAUAAAAAACAAACAUUUACCAUUAACGGUAUAAGGCUAAAAACAUAAACUUAAAUCAGUAAAAACAAGAAUUUACCGGCAAGUAAGAAAGAUCCAAACUUCGAAGAUCUUUACACUUUACAGCAAGCAAUCCGACCCCCAAGUCGCUUACACGGAGGCACCAUUUCAAAUUAAUUAAUCUCAGCUUUCUGCAACCAACUGCGAUACACCCAACACCCAUAUCCGUAAUCAUCUUGCACCUCCCCAUCCACAGCCUCUCCAAAUUCUUCGCCUCCGCCAGAGCCGCCACCGCGGAGUCUCUGAGCUCGGUGGCGUUCGACAGGUCGAUCUCCACCAGAUUCUUGCAAUUUGCAGCCAAACUGAGCAAUCCAAUUCCCGAGAAGCAAUUCGACCGCGAAAGAUCGAUCGAUCGGAGGGUGGACCUGCAGGCAUUAGAGAUGGCGACGAGGGAAGCGUCCGGGACUCGCGAGCAGAGCGUGAGAUCGACGUGGGAGCCAUUUGGGUAGCGGUGGAGGACUCUCGCGAGGUGGUCGGAGCGCAAAGGCUUGAGCUUUUUGCGAUGCUUGGAUUCUGCGGCGUGGAAGGACUUGCAGACCAAAGAGAAGGACUUUUUGUCAAUUGGUUUUUUUUCGAGGAAGUCGAGGAUUAUGAAUAUGAUUUCAUCGGAAAGAACAUGGAAGACGUUGUUGUCGUUGUUGGUGUUGUUGGGUAGAAUGGUCCUUUGCCUCUUCAUGGUCUGAGAUUUUUUUCUGCGAUUUGGAUGAAGAAAUGGGAGCUGAUUUUAUAGGUGGAAGAAGAUGGAGAAUAAUGGUGUUAUGGGAAGUAACCGUUCGGCAGAUACACUCUGGUUUUCGGUUUUUGGGUAGGUUGUGGGUGGAGAGAGACAGAGAGAUAGAGAUAGAGAUAGAGAGAGAGAGUUGAUGAUGGUGGAGUGAAGAUGUUGGAGAAAGGAAUUUUACAAUAAUGGCCUUGUGCUGGGUACUUCCUAUUAUUGCUUGUUUCCAUAUGCAAUGACUAUUUUAUCCUUUCUUUCCUAGCUUAUCCUGGAGUGACCCCAAUGACUUAAACUAAAUCCAAUCAAUUGGAUCUUCUUAUUUGUAAGAAAUAAUGGAUGGUGUAUAUGAGAAAUUUAACUUUUAAACUAUAGAAUUACAUGAUCAUUUCUUUUAGGUAGUGAUUCUUGAACUUAAUUUUUCUUCCCAUGUAAUCCUUUUAUGUUUUUGUAGGCACAUUUUUUGCAAAAUAUUUUCAUAAGCCAUUAGAUUAAAUAAUGAAACGAGAAUUUAUUGACACAUAAAGAGAAAGGGGUAAUAAUAAACAUCGCUAUUCCUGUGGCUUUAUACUUGAAUAUACACAUUUCAUAAAUUUAUAUAUGAAAAAUGACCUGAUUUUGAAACUCUUUUUUAUGCACUUGUUUUUGUUCUAAAUUUAGAUUAAAUAAAUCAAGAAAAAAAAUUAGGUAACUGAAUUAAAGAAACGGGCAAGUGUGAAAAUCACCUUGAAAAAAACCCCAACGAAAAUGGCAAAUUGGUAAAAAUGAAAAGCACCAAAGAUGGGGUAGUGUGGUCAUUUAAGAUGGGAAAGGAGACUCCGUACGGGGAAGGACGGGGAAGGACGGGAAAGGACGGGAGCAAUUGGCGAAAGUAUGGGAGGGCACGUUCGGUAUUGAAAAAGUCGUUUUCUUAUCGCAAAGUGGCUUUAUUUGGUGGAGGACAUAUGUGAGGAAGGACAGAUGCAAGUGCAGACAGUACGAACAACCUGACACAAACAAAUAUAAAAUAAUAAUUUAUAAAAUAAAUUAAAAAAGAUUUAAAAAAAAAAAAAACCAAAAUGGAAUAAAGAUAUUCGGAGCAGAUAUCGCCGUACUUAUAUAGUUGCAACUAUGUAGUACCAGCCUUACUCAGAUAAGAACGGAUGGACAGAAAAAAAGAAGAUAAAUUAAAGUUUAUAUAUAAUUAAAAAAGGAGCUUUUCUCUGAUACUGGUCAGGAAGGUUGUGACUCAUGCAGGGCUAUUUGGGUUACCAUCUUCCGCUUGCUUGGUCAUUUGUAUUCCGAAUUGCCCUCUUUGUUUUAGGAUAUUACCAUCCUGCCAUCCUUCGAGGCAUUGGCAGAUGGACAUUGGGACCAAGAUGGUCUUAGGAUCACUCGGAGUUCAGGAAAUAUACGCAUGAAAGUCUUUUAAGGGUCCUCCGAAAGUUUAGUGCGGGUCCAUUUUGUAUCUACCAAGUGUUUAAGGUAAUGUUUGCUAGACAUAUCUCGACAGGUUGAGUUGACAACACUUGACAAAUUCUCUCUAUAUUACUCAUCAAUUGCUUCGACAUAUGUCGAUAUUUGUUGACAUGUGUACAACGUGGUUUGGUUGAUGCAACAAGCCCAUCCAGUGUUCGACGAAAUGAGUGUAAAUAAACUAAAUAUUUUUUUGUUUCUAUCUAAAAACUUAUAUUUUAAAACUAGGACCCUCAAGGUUCGAAUUCUGGAUCGGGUCACUGAUUCAAUGACUCGAAAUCAUUCUUUCUCUUUAUAAUCAUUAAAAAUUAUUUAAAAAAAAUUAUUUAUUUAAAUCAUUUAUUCAUAUAUAUGUGCCAGAUAAACCUUCUAUGAUUACAAGUAACAAUUUAUGGUAAAACGUCAAUUAUUUUUAUUAUUUAAAAAGUAAAUAAACUUUCAAAAUGUAAUCUUUAACAUCGAUGACGAUAAAAGAGAAUAAAAGUUUUGAUCACGAGAAGUGUACUAUAGAUUUUAUUUUUUUGUGGCAAGAGAAAUAGUUCAAAAGCUAAGUAUUGAUAAGGAAGGAUGUGACUCAUGCGGCGCUAUGUGGGCUAUCAUCAUCUUACAACCUGUACGAUACCUUAUGUUCUCAAAACACCCCUCUGUUUUUCUGAUAUUACAAUCAUGCCAUUCUUCCAGGGAAUUCUUUCGUUUUGGGUGGCGGAUUUGCAGCUGAUCUGGCCUUCAAUUCCUGAUCGAUUUCAUAUUUUAUUCGGAUCAUAUCUUGAAAGAACUCUGGUAUGAUCUGAGGAAAGUAUUUAAGAAAAAAAGCAAAGAUAAAUUCAAGGUGUAGUGGAGCAGGAAAAAAGUGUGUGAAUAAAUAAAGAAGUAAUACAGAAUAUUAAUGUAUGCUCUUAUUUUAGGAUGAUUCAGGGUAGCUAAACCUAAUAACCCAUCCAUGUGUUGGUUGAGCUGGCCACAACAUAAAUUUUUCAAUCCAUUUGUUUAUAUUCUUGCCUUUAGAUUUUGUGAACAUGAAAGUUGGUAAAAGGCAUCUCAAGAGUAUUAGUAGUUUCGCAAGUGAUGGAUUGCCCAAGUGAUUAGAGAUGUUCUUUUUAGCUCACUGCGUUUCGUGUUCAAACAUUCCUCAUCUUUAUACUAGUUUAUGAGCUUCUUUCUUGAAAGGCAAAGUUGUUACAGCACUCAAAAAGUAUUAGGUAGUUUUUCUGAAGAAAAAAGCUCAAUUUUUUUUAUGUUAUUUUUAUGGAAUAAGGAAAAUGUGAAUCUAUAUAUAGAGAGGGGAAGAUAAAGUUGAAUAUCAGAGUGCGCAAUGAAUGAGACUAACAAAAUAAUAGAAAUAUUAUUAAACAAACGAGAAUGCUGAAAGAGUUACAAAACCCUAAGAGAUUACAUUGUGGCUGACUUGUUAAAACUACCUAAUACAAGCACUAUUAUAUAUAGUGAAAACUAAAGCACAAUCCUAAUCCUUAAAGGAUAUAGAAAAUUCAAACAUCCUUGUCCCACAAGAAAACCAUAAACAAAAAUAAACUAAUAACUAAUUUUCCAACACCCCCGUCAAACUCAUGGUGGUACACGUCAUGAGUUUGCCAACAAGUAGAUGCGGAUGCAAGACUCCAAAUUCUAGUGCUAGUGCUAAUGCCAAUUCCAAUGCCAAUGUCAAUACCAAUGCCAAUACCAAUACCAAUGUCGAUGUCGAUGCCAAUACCGAUGCUGAUGCCGAUGCCAAUGCCGAUGUCGAUGCCAAUGCCGAUGUCGAUGCCAAUGCCGAUGCUACUGCCAAUGCCGAUGCCGAUGUCAAUGCCGAUGCUGAUACAAGAUUUCCAACUUCCGAACAAACUUGAACAAAAAACAAAAAAUCCAACUUUCGUAACGUCACUCAAGUGGUCACCAGUCCAAGCAUUCGAGCGAUCGUCGCAGUGAGAACAACAGACAAACCAAACAAAUCAUAUUUCUUUCUUGCCCGUGUGGGCCUAAGCCUCAAACAAUCAACCAAUUUUUUCUUUUUUCCUUUGCAGCAAUACAGACUUGUGGGUACUCCUGCAGGCUGCGGUGUUCAAAGGUGCAGAAGCAGAGUCAUGGGACAAAAAACGAACGAACAAUUUUUUUUCUUCUUGCAAACAAUCAAUACCAACUAACAAUCUGAACACAAAUGACAAUGGAAACAAGCAAACAGAUACCAACCCGAAGCAGAUUAAAUCUCAAAGGAUCAAACCUGCUCUGAUACCAAGUUGAAUAUCAGAGUGCGCAACGAACGAGACUAACAAAAUAAUAGAAAUAUUAUUAAACAAACGAGAAUGCCGAAAGAGCUACAAAACCCUAAGAGACUACAUUGUGACUGACUUGUUAAAACUAACUAAUACAAGCACUAUUAUAUAUAGUGAAAACUAAAGCACAAUCCUAAUCCUGAAAGGAUAUAGAAAAUUCUAAUAUCCUUGUCCCACAAGAAAACCAUAAACAAAAAUAAACUAAUAACUAAUUUUCCAACAGAUAAAAAUGGUGAAACUUUCAUAAUCUCAAAAUUAUAUGUCUCCCCUUAGGAAAAAAAACAAAUUUACAAAAAAGAAAACCACUCAAUUGAGUAGGACUGUGAGUGAUUAGUAAGAUUUAAAUUGAAAAUAAAAAAUAAAAAAUAAAAAUGAUGAUUAUCAAUCCUUAAUGUGUAUGCCAUGAAGAACCCUAGAGAGUCACAAACCAGAGGCAGGACCAUUGUUUUUUUUGGUUAACACCAGAGGCAGGACUUUGGUGACGUGAUGAGUGCAUGGUUCGUACACGAAAUGAUUAUCGUGCGUGGCAAAUGGUAGUUGACAAUGUUAUUAUCAUUAUCAAUCACUUCCCAUUAGCACACCAUAAUAAUUCAUCUGCAUUUAUGCAUAGCAGUUGUGUCUCAUUUAGGUAUGUGUCUCUUUCCCCACCAGAAGCGUAACAAGCUCAACUUGACUUAAACAAAAUGAUACUCACUAAUUAAGAAGAAUAAUAGAUAAUCUCAACUGUCUAUUUUCUAGCUCAGCUUUUAAAUAUUAUUUAUGUAAAAAAUUAACUACAUAUGAAAUUAUUUUGUGAUUUGACAGUUAACUAAUCAAAGCGAGAAUUUUUUUUUAAACUAUUAUAAUAAUUUAAGAUAUAACCAUCUUCGUGUGGGGAGGUGAGACAAGAGACACAAAGAAAAGAAGGUUGAAAAUGGUGGCUGCAUUACAUUUGGGUAUUAACCAGGGUACGCCCUCACAAUUAUCCAAUAAAUAGGCUAAAGGAUUUCUAUAUAGUUUGUAUUGUGAAAUUAAGGAUAUGUGUGUAUUGGAAUAUUAAGUAAAUAAGAGAUAAUAUAAUAUUUAUGAGGUUUGGCAAGUGUGCCUACGGUAUAUACGUCCUCGAGACAACAAUAGUAUUUUCUUUCAUUAUCUGAAAUAAUACGAGUAUAAAAUAACUCUCAUUAUUUUCUCUCAUCUUUCUAGCAUGACUCACUAAUAUUUUUCUCCUGCAUAUCUCUUCUUUAUGUUCUCUCUAGCAUGCUAGUAGUUUUCUAGCAUGACUCACUAUUUUCCUCUUUUUUUUUCCCUUUCCUCUGUAUGUUUCUCUUUAUUGUUUGUCAUACAUUGCAUAUUCUUUAUACAGAAAACUGACCACGCAAAAGUCUACAAUGUCAAAUAUUGAAGGUUGAAAUUCUGUACAGCCAAAUUGUAAAUAUCAAACUUCUUUGACUUUCAUCCUUCCAUUUCACAUGCUUGUUUACGUGGGCAUUCACAUCUCCAUUUACAACAGUUUAGUUAGUUUUUAACAUGAUUGAUUUUCAAAACGUGGCUUCAAAAAUGAACGAAUUCGAUAACCAAACAAAAUGCAGUAGCGUAAAAAAGAAAUAAGGAGGUCCAAACAAGAAAACUACUAGCAUCUCCGCUUAAAUCUGCAAAUUUACAUACUUUUCUACACUCUGCAAUAAAAUAAUCCUUAUUUAAUUAGCUGACCUAGAGCAAACGUCCUUUUUAGCUUCUCUUUACAAGUUUUUAACAUUGAUUUUUGCUGGUGAAAUAACAUUGAAUAUGUGCAAGUCAAGCUUUUCCGCGGGUUUGAAUAUGUACUGCUUUUCUUGGAGAAAGAAUAUAGUCAUUUGGUACCACAAUAUAUGACCAAGUCACCAAUCUCAAAAGUAUACAAUUUGGCAAAGCAACCAAACCCACUUUCUAUAAUUUUAAUCUUCUUAAUCAAAACAAAAAAAAAUCGUAGUACGGUAGCAAGGUACCUUCUCCACGUCGAUCUGUACCUCUGUGAUAAAGUCAGUCAGAGGCUUAGGUCACAAAUAUACGGUUUGAAUUGCAGACCAAGUUGCUUUCAGUAUACACACAGUAUUGGACUAAGAUUCUCUUAUCGUCUAUUCUCUUCCCAUUUCCUUCCAUCUCCUCAUUUCACAUUUUAUAUUUUAUCUUUCUCUUUGUAUAAAAAAUUAAUUUAGGGUAUUGACGUGAUUUAACUGUGAUAGUUCAAAUAGAAGGGAAGAGAAGGAAAAGAAAAAAAAGAAGGGAGAUAAUCCUACUCCUACAGUAUUACAUUAUUAGUUUAUCUGGGUCGGAUUUCAUUAGGGUAGCAAGGUACCUUCUCCACCAGCACCAAGCUAAAAUAUGGAGUUCAAAUGUCCCCAAGUAUUUCACCAGUACUUGAGAAUGGAAAGUAAGCAAACAUUGAAUGGAAACAACUAGAACAAGCAUUUCUAAAUUAAUUAACAUAUCAUUGUCUAAAUUAUUAGAAAAAAUUGAUGGUACCUGCUUGUACUUUGGCUGGACUUGGAUACUACCUACUUCCGCGCAAGGACGGAGCCACCUUGGGCAGGUGGGCGGAUGACCCACUCAGUUUUUUUUUUUUUUUUUUGUGUGGAAAACAAUGUAUAUGCUUGUGACAUUAGUAAGGUGUAUGUGUAUCACUAGUUUAUUUGCUUAUGAUAUUAACAUUAACUCUUCUAUGUUAUUACUAACGUUGAAAAAGGGUUUUCGGCUAUGAAAUUUCUGAAGAAUCGAUUGAGUAAUAGGAUGGAAGAUCUAGGUGUGACAAUCCGUCCCUAGUUCUACGAUUUUAUAAGUUUUAAAAAUGUGAAUUUACGAAAAUGCCUAGAGGCAAAUGCAUUAGCUUUUGUUGAUCAACGUUUAGUGAGACGUAUGACAUGUUUUUUUAGCAUAUUCUUGAAGUACUCAACGGUACAAACACGGAGGCGCAAGCGAAAUUGAAAUCGGAAUUACGACGGAGAUUUUACAGAACUACGAAUCUGAAAAAAAAAAUCUUUUUAAUAAAUAUUACUAUUUUAUAUCUAUUGAUUCAAAUUAUAUUAUUAUUAUUAUUUUAAAAUUUGUUUUGUGAGAUUUGAGGGAAGGGAGAGUAAGGGAAUGGAGAGAAAGCAAAAGGGGUAGAGUUGGCCAACCGGCGGGAGAGAGAGAGAUUAGUUGAAUCAGGAGAGGAGAGAGGGAAGGCUAGCGAAUCAGAAACAGAAGAAAGGAGGGGAAAGGAGGGAGUGGAGAGGCACACAACUAAGGCCUUUUUCCCUUGACCCAUUUCCAAAUCGUGACCCAAUCUUCAACCCGCACCUCCCUGAGCUUUUUCUGAUGAUAUCUGCCACUUUUCCGACGAAUUAGGACACUUCAACAUUUGCAAACAUCAUCACGCCCCUCCUCCUCCAUUGAUCACCAAAGAUUCGACGGGAUUAGGUAUAUAACGGCAGCGGCAUCGUGAGAUUUGGGGUGGCAAUUCAUCAAUUUCUAAAGCAAACUUUAUUGAUCUUCACCACCAUUAGACUUUCCCCGAGCUCUAGAACAAAGCCCAAUCAGUUGUAGGAGUGGUGGAGCACUGAGGAGGUCGAAUCGAAAGACACCCAUCUUAGGGUUUCCAACCGGUUGAGUGAAAUUGGGGCAUUUCUCGGCCAAAUUGGACUUGACCACAUGUAUAAAACUUGCUCUACUCAUUGAGAUCUUCAUUUUUGUGAAAUUUGGUAAUUUUUGGAAAUAGGUGAAUUUUUUGGCAAGUUGGGUCGGCCGACCGCCACCCACGGCGGCGAGUGGCCAGAGGACCGUCAAGGCUAUUUUUAGGAUAAAUUAGAUGUCUUGAAUUCAGUUCUGAUAAUCGUAUGAUGUGGAUUGAUCCUUGGAAUCUAAAUUAUCUAUGAUACGUUAAUAGGUCAUUAUAGGAAUCGACGAUCCGACCGUUGGAUCGUCACCGAACUUUAAUACAUUAUAGUACGUAAUAUUUGAGAACCAUAGAAACUUACGGAUUGGGAAUCCUACGAACAGAUCUUCCCAAAUUGGAUUUGUAAGUUGAUAAAAUAAAAUGUUAACCGCCACUUAAAUUUGUAAUUGGUGAAGAUCUAAUCGUUGAAUCGUAAUGAAACUUUAGGAUGUUGUUCUAGAAGUAUAAUGUGGAUCUUUGGAAGUAAGGGAUCAGAAAUCCAUGAUGCGGAUCUUCCAGAUCAAACUACGUAGGGAUAUGUUUUAUGUAAGUUACAUAUUCUAUUGAUAAGAUUUCUGAGACAUGAUUUAAUAAUUGUUGUAGGCGCUGAUCGUUCAUGAUGCCUCGAUGUGUGUGCUAGGGAGUUGUAGUGCGGAAUCCAGGUGAGUGGGCUUUUGGUUUUCAAUAUAUGUAUAUAUGCUUUAUGUUUUUCCAGAAAAAUUGAUUUAAAUGAUUUCGUGUUUUAUAUGCCAUGUCAAAUGCUUUAUAUUUUGGUAUAUGCUUUUAGUAGUUGUGUAUGUUAUUGUUUGACGUUGCGGACGCUCAAGUAAGUUCCAGGUGAGUAUAUGUAUUGAUGAUUGUGAGUUGCAUUAUGAUGAUUAUGCAUAGAGGCAUUUAGAGCUCAUAAACUUGCACCCCGGUGUUAGUGCUCCCGCCCAUAGCCUGGGCACAGGCCUUCACAUGAUGUUCACCUCCCACAUCGCACGCUCACCUUGGAUCCAAGUUAGGUGCACAGUCCUGUCGUACAGACUACUACAGGUGGUCCUGACUCGUAGGUGACCUGCGAUUAUUUGCACAGUCUUCAUGUGAUCGUAGCACUUGAACGUAUUUAUUUACACCUAGUCCUGUCGUACAUACCACUCUAGGUGGUUCCAACUCGUGUGCAAAUAUAUUUGAUGAGCUAUGAGUUUAGCCGUACAGGCCACAAUAGGUGGAUCCGACUGACAUAUUACUUUUCAUUGAUUAUUUCACCUGGUUUACUUAUGUCAUUAUGUUGAGCUAUUUGGCAUGGCAUACAUGUGAUUUUAGCUAUUCCGAGUAUGGUUUCGAUAUAGAUAUGUAUUCUAUUUUCUGGGAAAUUAUACGGGUUUUACGGCGAUGGGUUAUUACUUUUGAUAAGUGAAAUGGUUUUGAAAAGCUUUGUUUUUGUCCACUCACACUUUCUGUUUUGCACCCCUCCAGGUUCUAGUAGCAAAGUUUCUUCGUCAACGAGGAUUCUUGGCAUAUCCCAGUUCAAGUGGCUUCCUAUGAUGGUAUAAUCCUUAUCUUACCUUACUGUACUUUACUUAUGCUAUGUAAUCACGUGUGAAAUAGGUCCAUACUCGCUCACCGCGCACUCAUGUACUUAGACACUUUUAGGUUUAAAUUUAUUCACAUUUUACACAUCAUCACACUUUAUGGCUUCAUCACCUUCCAGGUAUCGGCCAUCACAUCUCGAUUCGGUAUCCUACAACAUGAUAAUUUAAUGGUAUUAGUAAUGAAGUUGUCAUGCAACACUUUCAAAAUCUGAAAACGCGUCGAGAUAUAUUGUCCGCUUUGGGCCACGACCACGUCCUCACAGUUUUGUUUCUGGGAACUCACACGAGAACUUCCUAGUGGGUCAUCUAUCGUGGGAUUGCUCUCGCGCAAACUCGCUUAACUUCGGAGUUUCGAUGGAACCCGAAGCCAGUGAGCUCCCAAAAAACCUCGUGCUAGAUAGAGAUGAGAAUAUACAUAUAAGGCUUAGAGGAUCCACUUCCCUGGGCGAUGUGGGAUGUACAGUACCCAUGUUUUGUUUUGGUACAAUAAUUUUUUUUUUGUUAAUUUUGAUGAAUGUACCUAUACACACACACACACACACACAUAAUAUAAUAGAGAGUAUACUUUAUAUUUUAUUAUUUUUAAUCCCACAAAUUAUGGGUUUUAUUUAAAAUCACAUUAAUAUAAACAAAUACAAAUUUCAAUUUUUAAUUUAAAAACUAUAGUAACUUACAUUAUUACACUAAUGUCAUGGGCUUUGAUAAACAACUAAAAACAUGUAAGGUUUCAAUCAAAGAAUAUUAAUAAUCAAAGACUGAAUCUAAAGUGUUCCAAAAAAAAAUAGGGGUGUGAUAUCCACACAACCCAUUUUACUUCCCACACACCUUUUUAAUUUUCGGCUUUCGGAUUGGAUGAAUUGAAGAAGAUCAACAUAUAUAAAUUAUCAAGGGGCGUGUGAAAAGUAAAAUGGGGUGUGUGGAUAGCACAAAUAUAAGUUACGUGAGCAAUUCAGACUAAAUAUUACUAAAUUAUAACUUCACUAUAAAUUGUUAUCCAAAAACGUGGAGGUAAUCGAAUUACCAAAUAACUAAAACAUGCAUGUAUAUGUUCAUCAUGCUUUAAGAAAAGUAUGCUUUUCUCUAUUCGUAUCAGAUGAUUGAAAUGGCUUUUAUGUGUUUGGGUUAACUUUUAGUCAAGCCCACCAAUGUUCUUCAACGUUUGAAGCCUCAAGGAAAAACUUUCAGUUAGUCAUUUGCACUCGAUAUGCUUUGUUUAUUUUCUUCUCUUCUUUUCUUUGUCGAAGUUACGUUGCAUGUUCUCUUCUCGUCCCACAGAACCCACACCCUCUUUACUUUUCCAAGUAUUCAGAAAUUUCUGGUACCCUCCUCUUCGAGAUACUCUCAUGCAUGCAACAAAUUUUUAGUUCGUCCAAUAAAUGCUUCUUACGUGUUUCAAAAAUACUUUAUCUAUCCACGAUUGAUAAGUGGUAAAACUCCUCGUCCUCCUUGAGAAGAGUCAAACUGUACGGCCAAACGCCUGCAUUUCCAAGUUUUGACUAAUACUAUGACAACCAGCUACUGCAAAUUUAUGCUGACUAGAUAUUCAAAACCCAAAAAGAUGGACUAAGGUGAAUGGAACUUUUGCCCAACAAAAUGAGAUCUAACUUACCAUUCUGCCCUUUUCGAGCAUUAUCCUGUGGCAUUUCAGUAUAAAAUUGGCUCUAGGAGUUUGGUAUGGCAAUGGGAUAUUUGGAAUUAAUAAAAAAAUGGUGGUCGAACGAAUCUGAUGAUCCUCUACCACAGUUUUUUCGAAUUCUCCCUCCUGUUGUUUACAAUCUUUGAUUAAUUAUUUGUAUGUCCAUCGAGAAACUUUUUUAUUAUUUUUUUUUUUCAAUAGAUUUUUUUUUUAACCAUUGUAUCGUUUUGAACAAUUCUAAUUGCAUCAAAUAAUAAAUUAAAAAUUUUGAUUCGAUCGUAUGAAUCAAUUCUUACUUAUAAGUUGAGGAUUUGGGGGUUAAAUGUGGACUUAACUACAAGCCUACAACACAACUAGAAUUUGAAUUUGAGUCGUAUUGUUUUCAAAAUGUAUCAUUAAAAUUCAUUUCACAUGCAUAAUGAUAAAAAAAAAUAAAAAAUCCAUUUUUAAAAGUACCUGUAGAAAAGGGUCAUUUCACCAUUUCCAUUACAAGAAUGGGAAAAUCUUAGGUAUGAUCAAGAUUUUAUUUCUAUGUUAGUGUCGUUUUGUGACUUGAUCAAGUAAUGAGCGAAUACUCAAAUAAUGUUGUAAUACAAUAUGUGGAUGACUCAUAUGAAUAGUUCGUUAUUAUUUAUCCAAAGAAAAAUCAGAUGGAUUAUUAUAAUUUAUUCAUAUGAAGAAAAACGGAUAGGUUACUAUUCAUGUACAAUAUUUCACUAUUCAUUUGAGGAAAGUUUGUAAAGUGAAUAGUAUUGCUAUAGUAAUCUUUUGCCUAUAAGAUGAGAGCAUACGGAGGAAGGAAGAAGAAAGAAGAAAAAGAAAGAGAUGGGAGAAAAACAUACAGAGGAAAAAAAGAGGAGUUAUGGAGGAAAGGAAGAGAAGAGGAAAGAAGAGAGAUACAGAAGAAAUUACCAAUGAGCCAGGCUAGGGAGAAAAGAGAAAAUAGUGAGAGUUAUUUUGUACUCCUAUUAUUUUAGAUAAUGAAAGAAAAUAUUACUGCUGCCCCGAGGACGUAAGCACACUUGCCGAAUCUAGUAAAUAUUGUGUCUUAUUUACUUUAUUCCACUGCACACAUACCGUCGAUUUUACAACACAUUAUCAGCGCGAGAAGCUCUUGUGUCGGUGGAAAGCACAACACCAUAAAUCCGGUGAAGCACUACCUACCUCUCACCUCUGUCGGCUGGAAUCUCACAGAUAAGAAUUUUUUUUCAUUUUAUCUUCAUAUCUCUGUAUGACUAAUUUUCUUAAAGUAAAUAUACAUUUGGUUAUAUAACUAUUAUCAUUGGCAGAAAAUCUGACAGCCAUGUAAACACUCUCUGAACUCAAACUUGCUGACCUCGGAUUGAGAUACUUCUUCCUUGAAAGUUGUUCAUCCGUCUAAUACCUAUAACAUAUCAAAUUUUCAGAAAAUUCCAACGGUGAUAUCGUCGCCGAUGUCUGAAACACCAACCCAGUUUCCAAUUUCGUAGAAAACUGGACAGCCAUCUUAUGAGUAUCGAAACUCCUUUUUCAGUUUCUCAGAUCGAAAUUAUGUCUUCAUGAAAGUUGUUCAGUAUCCUCCUAUCCAUAUCAUACUAAAAUUUGAGCCAAAUCUAACGGCUUGAUCUUCUCAUAAGUUGCAGGCACUACUCUUGACUCCAAAACUUAUGGUAACAGUAUUGAUUUUUUUGAAACUCACCGGAGGAGGAACACCAAUUGAGACUUAUUGUUACUAUUACUUCCUGAGUAACUAAAAGGACCUAGAGUUGUGAAAGAAAAAAAAAGGGAUGGGACAAAAGAAAGUGGCGGACAAAGAAAAAGAAAAAGCAAAAGAUAGGGACUUAAUCAUUACCUUUUCUGUUUUGGCAUAUUUAUGUGAAUGAUGCUGGUUUAAAGCCCUAUCAUAAGUUCUAUUUAUUUACAAUGGGUGAAAUUAUUACCCUUUGCUUUAAGUUUUGAUAUUUAUGUGAAUGGUGCUGAAUCAAAGUCCUUGUCAUAAGCUUUAUUUACUAUGAUUGGAAUUACCGCCUAUUGCUUUAAUUUAUUUAGUGUACUACAUUUUAUGAUGAGUAUAUAAAAAGACCUGAAGUUCCUUGAUUAGAUUAGAACAUGAAGUUUCUUGAUCCUCAUCAUAUAAAAUGAUUGGACAUGAAGUUCCACCAUUAAAAAAUGAUUGGACAUGAAGUUCCACCAUUAAAAAAAGAUCAGACAUGAAGUUCCUUGAUCAUCAUUAUAUAAAAAAGAUUGGACUCAAAGUUCCUUGAUCAAAUCAAAACUUGAAGUUUUUGAAUCAACUGAGAGAACAUUAGUUCCACAAUUAAAUUAAACUGAAGACCAUAAGCGCCUCAGUCCACAAACUAUUACAUGAGAGCCAGAAGUCCCUUGAUUCAUGUAAAUGAGGACCAUGAGUUCCUUAAUCCAUGUACAGAUUAAGUAUAAGCAUGAGUUCCAAAAAAUAUGAACCUAAAAUGAUGUCGAUAUUGAGAAUAAAUUUUGAGUCCAUAUGAAUUAUGUUUUGACCUGAAGUUCAAAAUAUGAAUAAUUUUAAGAACUUGCAGUUCUAACAUUUUGUAUAGACAUAUGUUAUAUGUGCUAUGAGUUAAUUAUCGCAAUUUCUGUCAUACCUGAAUUUCUUCCUCUUGGAAAUAAGGAAAUGGUGAACUUAGCAAAACCCGAUUUUGUGGCCAUCGACAUCUUACACAAGAGAUACUUUCAUGAAUUCAUAAUGCUUGAGAAUUCAUGCAGAAGCAUAUGAUAUUAGAAAACAUCUUUGCUUAAAGGCUCUUUGAUUCAUAUUAAUGGAACCCAUAGUGUCCUAUAUCUAACAAACUGGAAGUUUCGAGCAUUUAUAAAACCAGAAGAGAAGGAAAUUUUCUACACACACACACACACAUGUAUAUACACAUGAGUUACAACUACAAAAACAAACAAAUGGGGGGCCUUCACAAAGGUUGCUCAUGUGAAACCUCAGUACUUGGCAGCACCUCAGAAGGGGGAGGCACUAGAGAUUGAUCAUGUGACGCCUGAGUACUUGGCAAAACACCAUAAGGGGAAGACAUCAGUUGCCUUUAGAAUCUAGCCACGAAUCUAUGGUGAUCACUUUGAAUCUGACUUUCGGAUUCCUACAGCUGGUCGAUCUCUCUUUUCAUACUCGUCGAGUAAAUAUUUGCAAGUUUAUGCAACUCUUUAUUCUCGUGUUUGAGCCCUCUAAUCUCUUGUCUAAGACUUGCCACCUCAGCCAUUACUAUUUCGACUUGGCGAGUUCGAGCAAGUAAGCAUUGGCCCAUGUUAGAUACAGAACCCGCACACUGAACACUAAAAGCUAAAGAGUCUUGAACGGCCAAUUCAUCAGACCUCUUUGAAAGUAUUCUUUUGUCUCUGAGAGUGAGAAGGUUCCUAGCUACUACUGUAGCCGUUAUAUCAUCCCUCAUCACAAAGUCUCCAACCGUAAGAAGGCCAUUAGAAGAUAAGAAGGACAUGCGCCAUAUAUUAUUUUGAUGUGGCUCGUGUGUAUUUUCUCCUGGACUCAAAUCUAAACAAAGGUUAGAUGGGCAAGCCAUUUUCAGAAAUGAUGAAAGAAAAUGGUUGGAUAGAGUGAAAUCUCAGAAAUACAACAAAGAUAAUUUUCACAUGCGGGUAACCUUCAAAGCGUGCAUUUUGAAAGCAAUUGAUACCUCUAUAAAAGGAGAGGCAACACAGCCACCUAUUCAAAAAUUGAAGAGACACCGCUCUCCGAAUUUUAAAAGCUGGAUUUUCUUGAAUAAAGUUUGUCAACAUUUCUUAAAACACGUAAAGUUCACUAUUCUAACUACAUCACUAUUGCCGACAAGUAUGGGUAACAAAGCCACAUCCGCACCACUACCUGUUAUUGGGAAAUCCCUAUAUAUGUCGACCUUCGUCCUUCAUGGCAAAGAACACCUCCAAAAUGCCUAACUCAUCUUCCUUGCCAAUAAUGCAUUUGCAACCAAACCUCUUAACAUAUUCAAUCUUCCUUUUCUCGAAUACCUUUUCAACCAAGUCUAUCAAAAUGCCAAACUCAUUUUCUCAGCAAGAAACCCCUUUUGAUCAAAAGGUUUACACCAGCAUCAAAAUCUUAUAUUUUUUCCUUCAAGAGUAAAAGUAUCUCAUAUUAUCAAUCUUAAGAGCAAGAGUAUCUCAUAUCAUAUCAUGUUUUUUCCCUGCCUUUUCCUUUACCCUUGCUCUUACCUGCAAGGCAAGGAGAAAUAAAGCAAUCAAUCGGAACCUGAAAUCAAAUUUUCGAUUAGGAACCGACUACCUAGAACCUUUCCUGAUUGCUUACCUUGCAUUGCUCUCGAGUAGUCAUCUUCAACUGUUGUUGAAGCUGGAUCUCAAGUCACCAACAUGAUAGAAUAAUUGAUACGUUGUUGGCUCUAUACAGUGAAGCUGCCAAUUAUGGAUGAGUCACCAACAAGUGAUGAACCAUCCAAGGGUAAAGAUUGUGCACCACCUCUACUGGGCAAGAGACUAAAGUAGAAUGAUUAAUGAUGAGUUUAUGGAAGUCUAAAGGGAGAAAAUUGGUGGUUGACUGGGUAAAUGGAAGACCAAAGUUCAAUGAUGGGAAUCCUACUCACAGCCCCAACAAACUCUACCAGUUUAUGUCAUUCACAUGAUGUACAAAAGGGUAAUGAACAUUACUAAUUGAUUACAAGUUACAGAGAUGCCGCGCGGAUUGAAGUCUCAGUCAAACUAUCCAUAGACUUGGCACUACUAAAUUGUUGCAUGCCCGAAGCAUGAUAGUCGCUGCAUAGAUUCAAGUUCCAAAAGGGAUAAUCCAUGGACACGACAAUUUUAAUAUAUUUUUUGCAUGUAGCAUAAUCGAUGUGUAGGUUCCAAUGAUUCAACUCCCAAGAAGUGGAUAUUAAAAAUCCAAGCUUUAUAACACUCUUGAGGAGGUUAUGAUCCAAAUUCUCAAACAAUUCAUCUAAUAAGAUAUGACUGUCCUAGAAGAGACAAUGUAAAGCCCCUGAAGAGGCAAGGAUAUCCAAAGUAAUGAUAUACUUAUAAAUAUGCAUGUGCAUGCACAUGAGAAAUAUGGGAUCACAAAUUGAUGAUUACCAAUGUUAAUUUUGGUUUUUAGUAGCUACUAAAUUCAUCAAUGAGCUGUGUUGAUAUUGGGCCACAUUCUUUUGUUCGUCGACAAAAAGAAAAAUUAUUGGCCAAAAUGGAGAAAGGCAAUUCCAUUACCAUUUAUUAAGAAUGUGGAAAAAUAAAACUAUAGUACAAAUUGGGCAUUUGUAAUACAGUGAACUACACUCAACAUGAUAUGACACAAGGUUCCUAGUUGAAACAUGAAAUUGUGAUAUACUCAUGUAAACAUGAUUUCCCAUUAUAAAACUUGUUCAUUUAAAUGGAGAAUUAUAUGUUACACGAAGUUUUAUGAAAUACCUUAAGCAUAUAUGCAUAAGUAAAUCCCUCAAGUAUACAUGGAAGCAAGUUGCUCUGUAUAAAUUCCAAAGAAGAAUGUGUCAUAAAGUGUAGAAAACCCUGGAAGGUAAAGCAUAAAUUAUGUACUCAAUACCAAUAGAUGGUAUAAAUUGCCUUUGUUUGUACCAUACUUAGGGUCUCCGUAUUUAGACCUCGUAUAAAUACUCAGAUGACUCAAAUGUAAUUAUUUAAUAAAUGAAUGGGCAAAUAUGUAAUAAGUGAGGAGCCCUUAUUCUAUAAAAGGGACUCCUCACUCUCACAAUGGGGGAGGCCGGAGAUCCCAAAGCCUCACUCUCAUAUUCAAAGCUCUCUCUCCCUCACAAUCCUCUCAUAAACGGAGAAAUACAAUAUCAGUGUGGACGUAGCCCAAACAUUGGGGGUAAACCACGAUACAUCUUAUGUUCUUUACUUUCUUGCAGAUUCACGGUCGGAUUUACGUUGUUCCAAGACCCUUCCGGUUUUGUGCAUCAACAUCCUUAGUGAGUACUAUCUUUAUGAUGUUGUUGCAACAUACUAAAUCUCUUGCAUGAGUUGAUAAUAUUAGAAUGGGACUCUUGAAGAGUUUAGAAAGAUUAUAAAGCGUUGAAAGGAAUAUUGUCUCGAGUUGCAGAUCGAACAAUAUGUCAACAUAAAUCUUAUUCAAAAUGUUUAUGGUAGUAAAAAACUAUAUGGAUUGAAGAUUAUGAGUUGAAUACUCAAAUGAUUAACCAAUAUUUAGACACUAAGAAAGAUCAUUCAUCCUCGUGAGGGAAAUGAUGAAUUGAUAUUUGGUCCAGGAGUACUAUACCUUAGUGAGGUAUGUGCCUUACUGUAUUUAGUACAAUACACUGAACCAGAUGUUACAUUUCUUGUGAAGCACAAUACCAACAUAUGGUAUUAGAAUGAAGUAAAGUUUAUCUUUUGAUAACUCCAAGAAAUUAUAGACAUGUGUUUGUUUUAUUUCAAGGAACUCACCAAUAGCCAUGGUCUUAUUGGGCAAGCAAAAAUAUGAAUAUCUCUGUAGCCUACAUACAAAUCGCUCUUAGAAAUGUUUUGUAUUUACAUAUAGAAAUAAAUUGAUCCUACAAUGAUCAAGGAAGCAACAUUCAUUGCCACAUCUUCAUAUUUCUCAGAAAUACAUGAGUUUAGUUAAAACUUGUGGGCAUUAAAAUUUGGAGCGCAUGUGAACUACUUUCAGAAGCAAACACUCCAACUAUAAUGAUUACAUCAACAUAGUAAUCAAUCAGAUUAAAGAAUUUGAAAUCAGGGGGAGAUACUCAUCAGGGGGAGCAUCCAAAACAUAUCAAGGUUUUAACGAGGCAACCGAAAUUGACGUAUGGUCAUCCAAGGGGGAGUGUUGUAAUAUAAUAUGUGGAUGGCCCACCUGAAUAAUUCAUUACUAUUCAUCCAAAGAAAAAUCAAAUGGAUUAUUAUUCAUAUGAAGAAAAACGGAUGAGUUACUAUUCAUGUAUAAUAUUUCACUAUUCAUUUUAGGAAAGUUUGUAAAGUGAAUAGUGUUGCUAUAGGAAUCUUUAAGAUGAGAGCAUACGAAGGAAGGAAUAAGAGAGAAGAAGAAGAAGAAAGAGAUGGGAGAAAAACAUAUAGAGGAAAGAAAGAGGAGUUAUGGAGGAAAGGAAGAGAAGAGAAAACAAGAGAGAUGCGGAAGAAAUUACCAGUGAGCCAGGCUAGAGAGAAAAGAGAAAAUAAUGAGAGUUAUUUUGUACUCCUAUUAUUUCAGAUAAUGAAAGAAAGUGUUACUGUUGCCUCAAGGACGUAGGCACAAUUGCCGAACCUCGUAAAUAUUGUGUCUUAUUUACUUUAUUUCACUGCACACAUAUCGUUGAUUUUACAACAAAUAAAGAAAUAUUUCACUACAAGAUAAAAUCUCUCCACAAAUACGAAAUACUCAUCAUUACUCCUGAAAAGCAUCCACAAAAAAAAUACCAGAUUCAAUUGAUAUGUGACAUUCUACACGUUUCUAAUUUUAGCAACAGCAGAAAUUUUUUUCAAGAUAAUUUAUUUUUUUAUUUAAUACAACGAUACUUGAGGAAAAUGAAUUUGAGCUUACUCAUACAAUGAGCCCAUCAUGUGAAUUGAACGUGAUGCCUCACUCUUACAACAAACAAAAAUAACUAAACCGUAAUACUAAUGACAAAUGCCUAUAUACAUGCAUGAUGGAGGCCCAACUUUAGAAGUUUUAUAUGAACAAUAGGAGCAAAUUGGAGACCCAACUAUGCAAUUGCAGAUUGUGAUGAUGAUGUUGUAAAAAAUUUAAGAAGGGCAUAUAACUUCUCAAAGUGAAUGAGGUGCUUUCUGAUGCGGUAGAGGUGCAGAGUAUAGAGCAAUGCAGCCAAUGUCACCACACCAAAAGACAGCAAAGUCAACUUCCAAAAAUCCUGCAAAAUAACAAUGCAGUUAAACAAACACCCAAAUGGGUUUCAUUAAUAAGUUUAUUAAAUAUUUUAGAAACUUAAAAAGUUUCUUAAGUGAGAAAUAUAAAAAAUUAGUGUCACACAAAGUCACCAAACUAUGGAUUCUGGGGUUCAACAUGGGGAUUGAACACAUGAACUGGACUAUUUUAGUCUUUAGGUGCAAAACAAAAAUGGAAGCUGUUCAAAAGUCAAAACUAGAAGAAGUUGACCAUUAGGCUUUUGGUCUAUACUCUAUAGGUUGACUAAUAUACGAAUGAUGUUUGGGUCAAUCGAACUAGGGAUGCAACUCAAGAGAAACUUAGAUGCAGCUGAUCGUAUAUUUUCUCGUGCGUAUUAUUAUUAUGUUGUGUAUAUCGCUCUUAUCACCUGACACAAUCACAUGAGAAGAGAGUAGACACAAAGUGAUAUACUACGGAUUGAACCUUAGCUUUUUCUGUAGUACUUUGUGGGUUAGGUAGUUUGUAAGGUCGACCUAACUUUAAUUCAUACUUCACAAUUUGAGUUUGAACUUACUUUUCAAUUUCUGACAGGUUAAAAGCCGAUUAGGGUUUUGUGACCUUUGUUGGAUUUGGAUUGACCUUACCUGAGUUGCACCCUACCUAGAAUCAUCAAGCCAUAAAGUAAAAUAUGAUUACCUGUGGAUUAGAGAUGAUUAUUCCCAUGACAUAACCCAUCAGAUCCAUAAUUGACUGAAGGGAGUUUUGAACACCUCCCACUUCACAUCGAUCCGAUUCAGGAACUCGAUCCUGUCCAACAUAUGGAUACAUCUAAAUGUCAAGGCAUCAUAGAAAUGCUGAAAACACUUUCAUCACAAAUCAUAAAAAAACCUAUAAGAUUAUUAGUUUAGUUUAAAUUAAUAUUGUUUUACUUUACCUGCAUUUGUUGGAUUACCGCUAAAUCAAACAUCCACAAUCCAAGCCUAGAAGCAGCCACUCCUGCCAUCAGCAUAUAUGCCGAUAAGUUGCUAUUAGAUAUCCAAAUUGAAGCAACACACAGUAGGAGGAAGGUCCACUGCAUUAAGAAAUAAAUAUGAAUUAAGAUUAGAAUCUGAAAUUGUGAUCACUUGAAAAUAAGUCCGGUCUAGUCAAAUUUAACUGAAAUUGUCCAGUUCAGACCGAUCCAUCAAAGGAGCCCCAAAGUUUUUACCUGAGACCAGAUGGACCAAAGUCCGGUUCUGAGUUUUUGAAUAUGAGAUUGCACUAUAGGGUACACAAUUGUUGCAGCAAUUCCAAUUGCAGCACUGAUUCCACGUGCUAUCCCAAUGACAUAUGCAGGUAUGCCUUCCCAUUCCAGUGUAGCUGUCAUCAAUGUCCCAAAGCUGGAAUAAGAGAUUCAAUUGGUAAGAGACUUACUCACAAAUCACAACGUUAGAAUAAAUACAUGCACAAAUAGAACCGGUUUUAAGUUUUUAAUCAAAAAGUUUAGACAAGCUACAUGACUAAAUUUCAAGUGCAACAAAAAAGAAUAUGGAUGUUAUUUUCAAACUUCAAAGAUAAAGGACUAUUCGGAAGAGGUUUAUGUCUAAACUGUAUCCCUACUAAUCCCCUAAAAAAUGGUGGGAUUCCUAGUGUCACGGGAUGACUCUUUAAGCCUUCCGCCCGUGCGGCACUUAGACUUGAAUACCUCGAUGAACAAGCUAAGUAAGCCUUCGAAGCCUCGCUUCCCCGGAUCGAAUCACAAAGAAAGCUAAGAUAGCUUGGAGAAUGCUAAGAUCACUUAGAAGAUGGGAGAAAGGAAGCUUUGUAUUGAAAGUUAAGAGAACUUUACAAUUGCUUACAAUUCUUGGGUGGUUUGGUCAAAUGGCCUUACCUCCUAUUUAUAGGCCUAAGUCACCUCCUCAAUGGAGGGUUCUAGAAUCCCCUACUUACAUCCAAAAAUAUCUAGCAUAGUUCUAGAUACAACUUGCCUAAUCUAGAUUAUUCUAGGUGAGGCUUAAAUAUGUACACUUGUGUGGAAUGUUCCGGAAUGCCCUAGAUUAUCUUGAAUGCUCCGCCACGUUCUUGAUUUCUCCAGGACGUUCCAGAAGCUUCCAUGAAGACAUGGCUUCAUGGGCUUAGAUAUAUGAUGUCUUGGGCAUUUUCUUUGUUUUUAACAUGCGGCCCGUGACAUCCUCCCCCACUUAAGCCGUCGACGUCCUCGUCGACUCUUGCCUCUCGAAUGUCUGAAUCAAGUCCUUAUAUUGCCAUAAGGACGUCUCCUUCUCCCAGGUUGCUUCGGAGUAUGGUAGCCCCUUCCAUUUGACAAAGUACUCCACAUGCUUUGGUUGUCUUGGUCGCACCACGACACACGCUUGGCUUCAAUGCUCUCCACUUCUUUGUCAAAUGCCUCCGUCAUCAAAGGGGGUGCUCGAUGAGACUCACCUCGACUUGGUUCUUCAUCGUCCGCAUGAUAAGGCUUCAAGUUGCUCACAUGGAACACCGGGUGAAACUUGAGGCGGGGUGGGAGUUCCACAAACAUACGCGGCUUUGCCAACCUUCUUGAUGAUAGGGAAUGGUCCCUCAUAUUUCCGCAACAAGCUCUUAUGCAAGCCACGAGUACUCUUGUGCUGAGACGCAUUGAGCUUCACAAAGACUUGGUCGCCAGUUUGGAACUCCACAUUCCUUCGCUUGCGAUCUGCCCAUUUCUUCAUCUUCUUUGAAGCCUUCUCCAAAUGAGCUCGAGCAAGUUCGUCGUGGGCUAAUUGCCACUCCUUAGCAGUUUUGAAAGCGGCUGGACUAUUCCCCGUGUAGCCAGUCACGACCGUGUUCGGGGUCAAGGGUUGUUGCCCUAUAGCCAACUCGAACGGACUUUUCCCCGUCGACUCCGAACGUUGCAAGUUAUAAGAGAAUUGGGCAACAUCAAGUAACUUAGCCCAAUCUCGUUGAUUGGCACUAACAUAGUGCCGCAAAUAAGUCUCCAACAAUGCAUUAACCCGCUCCGUUUGUCCAUCAGUUUGGGGAUGAAAAGCUGUGGAGAAGUCUAACUUUGAGCCAAGUAGCUUGAAUAGCUCCUUCCAAAAUCUUCCUGUGAAGCGAGCAUCUCGAUCACUGACUAUGCUCCUCGGAACACCCCAAUACUUCACCACGUGCUUUAGAAACAAGCGUGCAGCUACUUCGGCUGUGCACUCCACAGGUGCGGGUAUGAAAGUGGCAUACUUGGUGAAUCUAUCGACCACGACGAAGAUAGAUCCACAUCCAUCAGACUUGGGCAAAUGUGUGAUGAAAUCCAUGGUUAAACAUUCCCAUGGUCUUGAUGGGGUGGGAAGUGGUUCCAACAGUCCUCCCGGUUGCUUUUGUUCCACUUUGUCUUGUUGGCACACAAGACAAGUCUUCACGUAUGAAUCUACAUCAUCCCGCAUUUGUGGCCAAUAAUAAGCAUCGCUCACCAAAGCCAACGUGCGGUGAGUGCCAGGAUGUCCUGCCCACAUUGAGUCAUGGCACUCCUUAAGGAUUUCUUUCCUUAAGCUUCCCCACUUUGGGACGUAGAUCCGCUUGCCCUUGGUGUAUAACAAGCCGUCCUCAAGCCAAAACCUUCUUGUCUUCCCAUCAUUGACAAACUCCACAAUGUUCUUGGCUUGGACGUCAUGUGAUAAACCUUCUCGGACACGGCCCAAGAGAUGGCUUUGCGGCUUGAGUACCGUAGCCAUUAACUCUACUCGUCUACUUAGAGCAUCGGCCACCACGUUCUCCUUUCCUUGCUUGUACUCUAGCUUGUAAUCAAACUCCGCUAAGAACUCUUGCCACCUUGCUUGCUUAGGUGUGAGCUUUUGUUGGGUUUGAAAGUAGCUAGUGGCAACGUUGUCCGUCUUGAUGACGAAUGGGGUACCAAGUAAGUAAUGCCUCCAAACUCUAAGGCAAUGGACGAUGGCGGUCAUCUCCUUUUCAUGGGUCGUGUACCUCUUCUCGGCAUUGUUUAGCUUGCGACUUUCAUAGGCUAUCGGAUGUCCCUCUUGCAUCAACACUCCUCCUAUGGCAAAGUCGGAAGCAUCAGUGUGCAACUCGAAUGGCUUACUAAGGUCGGGCAACCUUAGUACAGGCUCCUCCAUUAGGGCCUUCUUCAACUUCUCAAAGGCCUCUUGACACCGGUCCGUCCAUUCCCAUGCCUUGUUUUUCUUAAGAAGGUCUGUUAAGGGUGCUGCUAUGGCUGAAUACCCUUUUAUGAAUCUCCGAUAGUAGUUGGCUAGCCCCAGAAAGGAUCGUAGUGUUGGUACCUUGGUCGGCGGUUCCCACUCUUGAAUGGCCUUGAUCUUGCCCUUUUCCAUCAUAAGUUUCCCCUCCUUUAUCUUGUGGCCAAGAAAUUCUACUUCUUUUGUGGCAAAGGAGCAUUUCUCCUUCUUGACAUAGAGUUCAUGCUCCCGAAGGGUCUUGAACACUAUGCGCAAGUGCUUGACGUGCUCCUCCAAUGUCUUGCUAUAGACAACGAUAUCAUCAAUGUAAACGACGACAAACUUGUCAAGAUAAGGAUGGAAUACCUUAUUCAUCAAUGUGCAGAAUGUUGCGGGGGCAUUGGUUAGACCAAAUGGCAUGACUUUAUACUCGAACGCUCCAUAUCUGGUCACCAUCGCCGUCUUCGAUUCGUCUCCAGGGGCUAUCCUCACUUGGUAGUAUCCCGAUCGAAGAUCUAAUUUUGUGAAGUACCUUGCUUCACCAAGUUGAUCGAAUAAGUCGGCGAUCAACGGAAGUGGGUACUUGUUCUUGAUGGUAAUCUUGUUCAAUGCUCUAUAGUCGAUGCACAACCUUAGGCUACCUUCUUUCUUGCGUUGGAACAAGACAGGUGCACCAUAUGGGGACUUGGAGGGUUGGAUGUAGCCAGCAUCAAGCAGCUCGUUGAGUUGCUUCCUCAAUUCCUCCAACUCGGGUGGCGACAUCCUAUAAGGUGAUUUGGAGGGAGGCUUAGCACCAGGCUCCAACUCAAUUGCAUGGUCGACCUCUCUCCUUGGUGGCAACUUCUUUGGCAGUUCCUUAGGCAUCACGUCCGCAAACUCCACAAGGACGUCUUCCACUUGUUUCGGCAAAGGCCCGUGCUUCUCCUCCCCUUCAUUCAACAUUAGGGUUGCAAGAAAUGUGGCCUCGCCUUUCUUCCAAGACUUGGCAAAUUGAAUUGCCGACAAGUGUUGGGUACACUUCUUGGCUUGCCUUUCCAAUGGCACCAGGCAAGGUUGUCUUCCGUCGGCUAGGAUACAGAAAAUAUUGUAGAAGGGAAUGGGAAAGGCUCGUACCUUGUCCAUGAACUCUAACCCAAUGACUACGCCAUAGUCGUCCAUCUUGACUACGGUGAAGUCGAUCGUUCCCUUCCAUGUGCCAAUGUCUACGUGUACAUUACGCGCAACUCCAACAAUGGGGGUGGCAGCGGAAUUUACCGUCUUCACGCUACCGGGCUCCUUGGUGACUCGGAGGCCAAGCCUUGUGGCUUCCUCCGACGUCAUGAAGUUGUGUGUUGCUCCCGUGUCCACCAACACACGCGUCGUCUUGUCACCAGUCUUGACGUCGACGAACAAUGAUCCUCCCCCAACUUGAGCCUUAGGUUGUGGGAGGGUUGUCUGGAUGGCAUUCAGUAGACGGAUGCAUCCCAUCGUUGCAUCGUUACUCUCCUCGGCCUUGUCCUCCUUGAAAGCCAUGGCCUUAAGGGCCUUCUUUUGUUGGCAAUCUCGCAUCAUGUGAGGGCCGUCGCAUAGGUAACAAGUGGGUUGCCAAGACUUACCUUUGCCUUUGUCAUGCUUAUCGGCUUUCUUCUCCUUCGGUUUGCUUGUCUCGGCCUUGUCCUUCGGCUUGUGUUCUCCCCCACUUCUUUCAUGGUUACCCCUCUUCCCCGUGGACUUGGAAUCCCCUUGGUGGCUUGAUUUAAACUCAAUCAAGGAUUCAGCGGCGGCAAUGGCAUCAGACAAUGUUUGCACGUGCCUCCUUUGUAGUUCGAGUUUUGCCCAAUUUUGCAGUCCACUCAUGAAGUACAUGAGCUUGUCUUCCUCUAACAUGUUGGGCACCUCGAAUAACAAGCUCACGAAGGCGUUGACAUAGUCUUUGACGCUCCCCGUUUGCUUGAGCCACCUUAGUUUCUCCUUGGCUUCGUACUUGGCAUUUUGGGGAUAGAAGUGCAACAUAAGAUCUUUCUUAAAUUCAUCCCAAGUGGUGAGAGAGAACGUACCUUGCUCAAUCUCCAUGCUUGGCGACGCCACCACAUAAGGGCAUUGUCAGCUAAGAACAUGGUUGCCGUUGAGAUUUUGGACUCGUCAUCUUCAAGCUUUAGGUACUUGAAGUAUCGCUCCACGUUCCACACGAAUGUGUCGAGCUCCUUUGCUUCCCCUCUUCCCAUUAUAGGAUUUGGGUUUAAAGGAGUCGAUUACCUUGGAGUCCAACGCCUUGAUUUCCCCUCGACCCUUGCACGAAUUGCUUCACGACUGCUUCUUUACAAAACGCCACAUCUCCCUUAAGUUCCCUUGUGUCCUUUAUCUCUUCUUGAAGCGCCACAAACCUUGCCUCUAUGUUGUCAAGGUGAACCUGGACUUCCCUCCGCAUCUUGUCUGCCAUGGUGUUGAGAGCGCCAAGGAGCUCAUCUCGUAGCCCUUCCACCACCAAGCCACGCAAUUCAUCCUUACCAUUGUCCACCAUGGUUUGGAUUUCCUCCUUGUCGACAAACAUCCUCAUCAAGUCGAGUAUCGAACUCGAGUAUGGUUCGUUCCACCUUCUCGAGUCGCUCUUUCCAUGGUCUCCAUCGAUGCUUGCAAGUCCUUUAACUUUGGCUUGCUCUUGGCAACAUCUUGGACCUCGGCAGUACGCUCCCUUAGGUCGGAGACUCCGGACACCAUCUCUCCACUUGCCAUAUCCUACUUUCCUUCAAGUGAUUCACGAGCUUGGCUCUGAUACCAGCUGUCACGGGAUGACUCUUUAAGCCUUCCGCCCGUGCGGCACUUAGACUUGAAUACCUCGAUGAACAAGCUAAGUAAGCCUUCGAAGCCUCGCUUCCCCGGAUCGAAUCACAAAGAAAGCUAAGAUAGCUUGGAGAAUGCUAAGAUCACUUAGAAGAUGGGAGAAAGGAAGCUUUGUAUUGAAAGUUAAGAGAACUUUACAAUUGCUUACAAUUCUUGGGUGGUUUGGUCAAAUGGCCUUACCUCCUAUUUAUAGGCCUAAGUCACCUCCUCAAUGGAGGGUUCUAGAAUCCCCUACUUACAUCCAAAAAUAUCUAGCAUAGUUCUAGAUACAACUUGCCUAAUCUAGAUUAUUCUAGGUGAGGCUUAAAUAUGUACACUUGUGUGGAAUGUUCCGGAAUGCCCUAGAUUAUCUUGAAUGCUCCGCCACGUUCUUGAUUUCUCCAGGACGUUCCAGAAGCUUCCAUGAAGACAUGGCUUCAUGGGCUUAGAUAUAUGAUGUCUUGGGCAUUUUCUUUGUUUUUAACAUGCGGCCCGUGACACUAGGAACUAGUUUAAACAUCAUUCUUUAUACGAAGAGUCCGUCUUAAUCCUACAAAUUAGAAGAUAACAUCAUAUAUUCUUCCAAGGCUGCACUUGAAAUCAAGUCGUUUAUCUCGUCUAAUCAUGUCCGACAUAUCAAACAUGGCCUAAACCAUAGUUUAUAUACGGUUUAUUGUCCAUUUAGUAUCCUUUUGGUUCUAUUUUUGAUUAAAAGUUUGCAACCAGUUCUAUUUGUGUGUAUAGCCAAAGCCCGACGGAAGUUAAGGUUAAAGGAAAUUAGUAUUGGUAGGGUUUUUACCUAAGCACAGUAAAAAAUAACAGAGACAGAGCAACACCAGGGAGCACAACAUCUUGCUGCAAAUACACUCUCCAUGCAGCCACAUAAGGGAUCCUUGAGACCAUUUCAGUUACUCUCUUAAUCCAGCUUACCUCGGCCGGUUCCAAAUUGUUUUUAUCAUGAGAAAGCAAGCUGCUUGUCUCCUGACCAUCAGUAGACACAUCACUUCUUGAAGGCAUUGAUAUCUUCCGUUGGCUGCUUUCGCCUAGAGCCGGAAUCCCUUUGUAUACAGACAUGAAAAGCCAGUAUUCCAACCAGAUAGUUGUAGUGUUCCAGAGUGCUAAAGUUAAAGCAGAAGCCUUUAGGGACACAAAGCUGAUAAUGAAGCCAGUUAGCACAGGAGCACAUAGCUUGCAGAAGAGAUCGAUACGCCGAAGGACCGAGUUCAUUUUUGUCAGUAUUUCUGGAUUAGAAUGGCUUUCUGAUAUCACCACAACCCUGCAGAAAGAGCAAUUGAUAUAUAAUAUGCACAACAAAUCUGGGCUAAGGAUAAACAAGGACUUAUCUUUGACCGACCCAAAAAACCUCAUCCUAGAAAUUACUUCUAUUAAAAGUUAAACAUGGCCUGUUUGGGAUCUUAUUUUGGAAGGGCUAAGCCUAAAGGUGUGUUGUAUUUGUCAAACAUAAGGGUGCUUCAUUAAGAAGCGCUUUUCCAGAACCACUUGUCAGGUGCUUCAUCAAGAAGCACUUUCAAGUUUUUUUUUUAAUUUUUUUAUUUUUAAACUCACUUGAAUUUUUAACAAAAAUUUCAGCAUAUUUCUAAUAAGUGCACUUUUAACAUAAGCGUGUUGUGCGCAUAAAUUCGUCAUUGUAGUCAUACUAAUUCUCCUUGUAUACACCUUUGCUUUACUCUUUUAUAUAAGUUUUACAUUCUAUUUGCGUCUUGUAGGUUGUAACAAGCAAAGAGUGAAAAUGAGCUAAAAAGAAAGUACGAAGACUAAAAAAGCUUUUACAAUCCUAUUCAGUCUGCACUAUCUGUGCAGAUCAGCGGAGUUCGCAGAAUAAAUUGUACCGACUCGGAAAGAACCCGAAGAUGAGCCAUACACCCUUGUAAAACUACGAACAUCUAUUUUCUAUAGAAUUUAUGGUCAUGAAUAUCAUUUUUGUAGAGGGCGUUGUGACAAUUUUAGUACAUGAAGGUCGGGCUGCACGAGAAUUCAAAGUUUUUUACAACUGGGUAUAUUAGGGGGUUAAAAUUUCUAUUUACGGUUGGGAUGAGCCAAAAGUUUGGAAGAAAACAAAUGAGAAUGCUUUUUGAUAUAGGGUAAUGCUAGGGAGAUCAAAAAUUUUAAACUAAAUUUGCAAACAAAGUAUGUGGUUGUAGAUAAUUGGAUUAAUUAGUGUCGAUUAAUAUGCUUUUUCUUAUUAGUGCCACAUCAUUUAGUUUGCAAUUUGGUUUUAAAAAAUUGGGGUAUCAUUUUUGUUCACCAUCAUAAAUUAUGGUGUAUGUUCACCACACACUUAAUCAAUUGACGCGUGUCAUUUCACUUAAUCUUGGUUAAUUUUUUUUCAAAAAUAAUAGAGUAACAUUUAAUGUGAAAGUUAAUUAAAAUUAUGUGUAUGAUAAGCAUACACUAUAAUUAUGUUAGUAAAAAAAUACUCCUAAAAUUUAGUUUUUCUAACGUUACUCUUCGAUAUAAUGAAACUUUCAAACUCAAUAGGUGAAAAGAUAAGGAGGCUAUUCUUGGCCUUUGGCUGUUACAAAUGAAAGGGGACAUAUUAUCCCUGAUCAGAGCAGCGUGCAAAACAAUAGAAAAAAUAAAAGAAAUAAAAAAGAAAGCAGCCACCAAACAGAGGAGGCAGCAGCAGCGUGGAAAACAAGAAUUAAAAUAGAAAAUUCAGUGCCAGCCGCACCAUCUAAUCAUUAGAAAUGUCUAAGUCAAGUUUGUUUUUUUUUUUUUUAAGUUUUCGAUUAUGCUUUUGUUAUAAACGAAUUUGACGAUGUUUAUUGAUAAUUUCAGAUUAUAUUUCACUUUUUACAUGUAUUUGAUAUGCUUGAUCACCAUAAUUAUUUCUUAUAUUGAGUUUGUUAAAUAGAUAAAUUUAAAUGAUCGAGUCUUGUGUUUAUACCAAGAGACAAAAGAACUAUUGCAAAGUUCUUGGAGUUAAGCAGCACGAAAAAUCGAAAUAGAUAUUGUGUUUUGGGCUUUGUGUCUUUUGUCAAUUCAAUUGUAUUAUGCUUUCUCGAGAUGCAACUUAGCAGAUAACAUUAUAAAUGCUUCGAGUUUGAAAAGAGUGUAGAAACCAUGCCUUAUUCCAUACUUAGGAGAAUCAAUAUAUAGUUUAAAGAAUAAAUACCAUGCCUUUAGGUUGACAAACACUAAUAUCUCAAUCUGUUUGCAUGUCGUUGCUUUAGGAAGGUAGUUAGUAGUGAAUACUGAAACCCUAACUCGUCUUCUCACUGUUUCAAAUCUUAUUCCAAAUCUGUUUGCAUUUGAUUAUUUUUGUUUUAUUCUAUUUUGUUUAUUAUCAGUUUCAAAUAAUCUUCAACAUAUUCUAUUAAAUCUCUUGUGUGCAUCUUUGUUAGUUUUUGUGAACAAAUUAAUUUAAAUUCUUAGGAAUCAUAAUCUAGAUACGUAUUAGUGCAAUCUUGUGGGAAUGAUCUUGUACUUGCUUUCUAUACUAGGUGUUUGAUCUUGUCUAUUGGCAAGUUUAAAACGUGUAAUUAGUAGCAUAAUAUUUAGAUUGUUAAUAUUCAUGACAAAGCACUUAUGAGCAAAAUGCUUCCUAUAGAAGCAAUCUCAGAGCAGCAUCGUUCUAAUGAAAGUCUGAGCAAUUAAUUAGAGAAUUUACCAGUCUCUUUCAACUAAGAUGGUGCCGGCGAGAGUAGAAGUAACUGCAACAGCUCCUGCGACGUUGGUUAAUAUUACUAGCAUGAUAAACGCAUGAAAAUUUGUGCGGCUUAAAUCAGAGUAGACCAGUAAUGCCAUCACAGUGCCUCCAGCAAUAAUAGAAGAGAGAUUUUGUGUUACCAACCAAAGCCGGAGAACCUGUUCACAGAAGUGAAAGAUGUGUAUAAUUAUGUAACAAUUUUUUUGUCUCCCUUUUUCUUCUAAGAAUUCACAUAUAUAAGCUAGCCUAUACCUUUAUAUAUGUAAAUCUAUCCACCCAGUGUCCAACUAAGGGUCCGAAAAGCGCGGUGGAGGCUGAUUCCACCGCGCCAUAGAUAGCAGCAAAGAGUAGGGAGUCGGGCCAAAUGCUUAUCAUGUAUAAACCAACAGAAAAUUCCCACACCCUGCAGAAAACAGAAGAAAAUUCAAUAGAAAUUAAAGUUUGAUCAAAAUCCAACCUGCUCUUUCAUUUGUUCCUUUUUAGAGAUUUCAAGUGAUAUCAAUAAUCAACAAGUUCAUAAUCUUCAACUUAGUUUCUGAUCUUUAAUUUAUCCUUUUUUUUUUUAUUCUUUCCAGCACUUGAUGUGGUUUCAUAAAACUUUCAGCAGCAAAGUAAGAAAAACAAAUUAUUAAUUUCAACGCAUCAUUUGACGUAAUUAAGGAAGUUCACAAUAAAUUUAAGGAAAAAACUCAAACCAAAAAUAUAAAAAAAUUAUACAUGAAAAGUAGUAAAUUAACCUGGUGCCCCAUCUGGAUAAAAAGUGGCCAAAGUAGAGAUAUCUGAUUAGAUGAGGAGGAACUCCAUCAUCUUUUGGAUUAGGAGGGUGUUCUUGCACUCGGGAUAAAAAGGGUUCUCUCACUUCCUCCAUUUCAGAUCAAAACACCAGACGUGCAGAAGAGCGACCGAGGGUUUGUUGUUACGUGGUGCAAAACUGAAACACUGCAGCUAUCAAUACAACAAUCAUAGAUAUUAAUGCUGACUUGAGGAUGCGAAUCUCUCUAGCUACGUGGUUUGAUCUACUCGGAAAAAAAUAGAAAAUUGGGUCUCAAUCCAGUGCGUCUACGCCUCAGAAAAACCUAGCUGCUAAACAGAAACUCACAUUUGAUUUGAUCACGUGAUCGCGAUGCUACCAACCCUUCCUGAACUUUCCAACAAUAAAAAUCCAAAUAGUAAAGGCAUCUACUUUUUCUAUAGCCUAUUCGCCUCAUAGCAACUCUAUCCAUGGAGCCCUCCCUCCUCACUGGCAAUCCACUAUUGAAUUCAUCCUAUUGAACAGUAACUGUCUUUAAUGAAUAGUAACUGUCAUUAAUGAACAAUAAUUGUCAUUUGCAUCUCAACAUUUUGAGCCCUCUCCCUGGCAAUAGGCAAUAAAAUAUUAGUUUUUUUGUUUGUUUAAAUAAUACAAAAUAAAAUUAUUUGUAAUUUCGGAUAAGAUUUUUUAAAUCGUUCUCGUUGCGCCACGUGUCAUUUUAUAAAAAAAACAAUUAUUGAGCGAUGGAGUUCGAUAAGAUUUUUAUCCAAUGUCAUCGUGCCACGUGUCGUUAUCUUUUGAGAAUUUUUACGAUAGAUUUCGAUCAAAUUUUAACUCGUUCAAAAUUGCGCCACGUGUCAUUAUCCGAAAAGAUAAUUAUUGGAGAUCGAUUUCGAUAAGAUUUUUAUCCAAUACGAUCGUGCCACGUGUCAUUAUCUUUUCAGAAUCUUUGAGGAUAGAUUUCGAUCAUAUUUUUAACGAAUGACGGCAUGCCACGUGUCCUCAUCUACAAUCUGAUCCUUUCUGAAUCGCCCAUAUAAUCCAUCAUCCAUCCUCACAAAUCUCACAAAUUGGAUUGAAACUUUGAGAGAAAGAUAGGAAUUUGAUUGAAAGUAGUUGAGAAAAUAUGAAAUUGUGGUGUAAGGUAGAUGGAGAAUAAGUGGUAUUUAUAGAAAAGUAAAAACAAUUUUUUACAAAUUUUUUUUCAGAUUUUUUACAAUUUUUUUCGAAUUUUUUCCAUUUUUUUAAAUUUUUUUAUUCAAAUAAUUAAUCUCUGCCGUUGGAUUUUAAAAAAUUUGAAUUCCAACACUCCAGAUUGUGCCACGUGUCACAACGGUAACUUUUCUUAAUUUUAAAACUAUUUUUUCUUUAUUUAUAAAGCAUAUUAAUAUCGACCGUUGAUCUCAGAUCGAAUGGUUGAUAUUAAAUAAGAUUUUUUUUUUUUUACCGUUGAGAUCCAACGGUCCAAAUUAAGGAGCCGUUGAGAUCGAACGGACCGUGGGAAGCCACGUGGCUUCCCAACGGUAACUGAGACCACUGCAAAAGUGGACUGCUUUUUUGAAAAGCUGUUGGGCGACGCACCCCCAUGCGCGAGUGGGGUGCACGCGCUUGACAGAAAAAAAUUAAAAAAGGGUUUGGAGCUCGGGCUCACGGGCUGUCAAAAGUUGACAGGCCUUCUGCUCGGGCCUUCUCACCAGCUCGAGCUCUUCAAGGCUGGAGUUGAUUCAUAGGGCCUCGGGCCCUUUCCUCUCCCCUGCCCCCCGGGCAACUCCCAUGGCUGGAGCUGCUCUCAUAUGCAACUAAAGUAGAUAAAAUUGUACUAUAAAAGUUGACUUGAUAGGUUGCCUACUCAAUUAUGUCAUGAAAAUAUUUGUCACUCAUAUGGAUUAAGCAAGCCAAGUAGGCAGAAUUAUAUUUUAAUAUUGUAUUUUAUCCAUAAUAACUACUUAAUUAUACAUUUUAGUUCUGGCAUCCGAAACUUAAUUUUCUACUUAUGUUAUUGUAGUCAACAUUGCCUACUUUGGGAAGUAGCUAAAAUUUGAAAACUCAAUUGCCUAUACCAAAGCUAGUUUUGCUUAUGUGGCUCAUCAAAAUGGAUUUGCAUACUCAUUGCUAUUGGAGAUGCUCUAAUAUGAUAGAAGGAUUAGUUUUUAGACCAUAUUAUGUGACAGUAGUUUACAUGUUCAAACAAUCGUUACGAUAUAUUAGUGAUUCUUACGUACAUGACGCUUUACGUAAUAUUAAAAUCGAAACCCUUCAACUGGUGGAUUUCUACAAACAUUAGAUUAAUCAGAUGAAAAGUCACAUCUUCGUUAUAGGCCAAUCUGUCUGCCACCCUUCCAUGCCCUUGUGAUUCAACUCUAAUAUGCUUUAUAUCUGAUCAUCAGAUGGUAAUUAUAUUAAACACAUGAAAGUAUUAUAGCAAAUUCAAGCAAUCCUCCAAUCCUUGGCCUUCAAAUAAUGUUAACAACUAGGAUAUUUAAUCAUAGUAUAUACUUUGCAAUAUUAAAUUAAACAAAUUAAAAAGUGUGGUCCAAUAUUUUGGUGGAUAGGAUGUUGGUUUUUACUCAUGUGUCUCGGGUUCGAAACUUCUCACUCCUCUAAAUUAUUGUAAUAAUUUCAAACUUUUCCCUCUCCUAUUAAUAAUAAUAAAAUUAAAAAAAAAGUUAAAGGUGCGCAGGGUAACUGAUACAAAUGGACAAAGUUGUAAUACAAAUAUUAAGGAGGAAAUUUUUGUGAGAAAGGUUUAUAUUAACUCAUCCGUUGAGUUGGAUACUUAAUCAUAAAUAUAUACAUUUUUCAAUUGGCAGUUACGUAAAACUUUUGACUUUUUGCUAGUAAUUAUCUUUUAAUGAUUAAAUAAAGACAACUGUUAUUAGCACUUUAAAAAUCUCAUUCUACACUCCUCACAAGUAUAUUUUUCUUUCUAAUUAUAUAAAGUUUAGAAUGCAAAAUGAGAUUUUUGAAGUUUUAAUAACAAUUCCCUAAAUAAAUAUAUCUUCCUAUCAGUCAGCUGUGUCAUGCUUGAAAAAUACCACUUGCAAGUCUCAACGGCAACCUCGCCGGCAAGUCCCAUGUUGUUGUUUUUGCUUUCUUAAUUUUAAGAGUAUCUUAAGUUGUAAAAUACUCACUCUUCACAUGCAAAGUGUUUUUAUUCUUGACAGAUUAAAUCAUAAGUUGGCAGUGACACACGUAAAGAUGACUUAUUAAAAAUGUAAAGGUGCAGCCACACAAUACUACGAUUUUGUAGUAUUCAUUUUCACUUGCAAGUGGGAGGUCUUAGGUUCGAAUCUCGUAGAUGGCGAAUUCGAUACUAAAUUAAGUUGAGAUGAACUCUAAGUGUAAGGUCAAAACCUGUGUGGAUUAUGUUGUUGUAAACAUAGGAUAGUGCUACCUACAUACUUAUUUUUAUUUUUCAAACAUUCAACUUAAUUUUCAACUGUCAAAUCGAAUGAAUUGAAUGAGGUAAAUGUCUAAAAAUUAUCAAGGAUAUGUGGGAGGUAAAAAUAGACGUGUCAUCGCACAACCCUAUUGCAAUUCUACAUAAUCUAAAUUACUUAAUAACAAAAUUUUCUUUGUCAAUAAAAAAAGAGAGUAGAAGUUAGAAGGAUCAAAUUAAGAACUUAAAAAAACAAUAAUCAAAGUAAACGUUAUUGACAAUAUAGUAAACUAAACACAAUUUUUUUUUCACAGCCGCAAAAUGAAUGCGGGGAAGGCAGGAUUUGAGAGCGUUGAAUCAGUCAAAUUAUUGCAUGAUUUAUAACUUGAUGGAGUCUUUCAUGUUCCAAAGUUUCGUGUUAAUUUAUUGUGUGUGAGUAAAUUAACACGAGCUAGCGUGAUGCAAAACUGGCCAAGGAUUUGCUGUCCCUAAAAUAAUGUCUCCUUUCGUGUCUCAUUUUUAUUUGUUUGACACGUGUCUUUCACCUUAAUAGUGGUUAACUUCUGUUAAGCUUUAUUAUCUUGUAUUGAGAAAUAAUAAAAAAACCUCCAAAAUACCAAAAGUCAAGCCGAAGCGGCCGAGACUGUCUAUUUCCCCAACGCCUUCGUCUUCAUCGCCGAACACCCCAACCAUCCCAAAAGUUGCCAUAAUUCUCAUUGAUGGUGUCCAUGCUAAAACUCGAAACGAUGUUCCAUGAAAAAUAUAUCGAUAAAGAUCGGAAUUGAAUCGGAUCGGAAUUGUCGUUUGGAAUCUCAUUGAACCGGAGCCAACGAUUUGAUUUGAGUCGAACUAGAGCCGGCUAUUUAAAUUGAAAUGAACUGGAUCUGUCGAUUUGAUUUGAAUCGAACUAAAUCGAAGCCGGCGAUUUGGAUUGAAUUUCUGAGGAAUUGGGAGAUAACGAUAUCGUGGGGAUCAAUUAGGCUCUGAAGCGGGAGUUUAGAGGGAGAGAGAGGGAGGGAGAGAUACAAAUCGAGGCCGAGGGUGUUGUCGUCGGUGAGGUGGGGUGGUUGAGGUGCUUGGCUGACGGCACCGGUUGCUCGGGAAUCUGAUACUCCUCAUGUAUUUUGGGGAAUUGAUUUUUCGACUGAACUCACAAUAAUACAACUUAACAGACGUAAACUUCUGUUAAAAUGGAUGACACGUGUCAAAUAAAUGAAAAAGAGACAUAGAAGGAGACAUCACUUCAGGGACAGCAGAUCCUUGGCCUGCAAAACUAUUAAUUUAUUGAGCUGAGUGUUUGUUUUUCACUUAGCACGUCUUGGUUUCGAUUUCUGGUGAUGAUGAAUCACAUGAUGGUGAUUAGGAGGAGGCUGAAAUGCCUUUGUUAGUCUUCCCGAUCUCUGAAAUUGUGGACUGCUGUGGUGAAGUCAUUAGCUAUUCCCCUUUAGGAAAAAAAAAAUAGGCAUAGUUAUAUUUUAAUAUUUUAUUUUAUCUAUAACGUCUACUUUUACUUGGGAUUCUUAACGAAACACUCCUGGUACUGUUCACUUUUAACGUUAAGGACAUUUUAACUCUAAAAAGUCACUUUUGGUACUAUUCACUUACAACACAUUUUUGUCAUUUUUGUUAAAACUCAAAGUUUUUAAGCUCUUUUCGUUAAUUUUCUUCUUUUACAUUUUAGUUUUGGCAUGCAAAGCUUGAUUUGCCUACUUGUGUUAUUGUAGUCAACAUUGCUUAUAGUAGGCAAAAUUUGUAAACUCAAUUACCUAUACCGUUGAAGCUAGUUUUACUUACAUGGCUCAUCAAAUGAAUUUGCAUACUCAAUUGCCAUUAGAGAUGCUCUAAUAUAAUACAUGAACUAGAUUUUUAGACCAUAUUAUGUGACAGAAGAUCACAUGCUAAAACAACCGUUAUAAUAUACUAAUAAUUCUUACGUACAUGACUCGUUACGUCAUAGUAAAAUCGAAACCCUUCGGCGGGUGGAUUUUAUAAGGAACGCAUAUGUUAGAUGAUAGUACAAAUCAGAUAAAUUGAGCAAAAUUAAGAGAAUUAGAAUCCUGCACAUGCAAUUCUACAGACAUAAGAUUAAUUAGAUGAAAAGUCAGAUCUUCAUGAAAAGUAUUGAGUAAACUAUAAUGCUAAAAGUACUUUUAGCAAAGACAGAUGGGAUUAGAAUAGUUAAUAUGAAAGUUUCAUUAAUUGAUAUUGUUCACCUGUCUUCAAUAAAAAAAACAUUUUUUUAUAAAUAUGUACAUAACUGUUUUUGCUUUCUACUGUUUUGAAAUCAUAAUUUUGACAAAAAAAAAACAUUUCUUUUUCUCAUUUACCAAACUCAAUUAAGGCUUCAAUUAAGUAUAUACUUUGCAACGUUUAUUUAAAAGGAAAACUAAUGAAAAAGGUUUGAAAACUUUGAGUUUUAAUGAUAAGGACAAAAUAAAGGGUAAAGUGUAUAGUACCAGGAUUGACUUUUUAGUGUAAAAAUGUGGUUUUUCGUUAAAAUGAACAGUACCGGAUGCUUUUCGUUAAAGUUCCCUUAUUUAAAUUUGCACACAGAAGCAAUGCUGCAAUCCUUGGCCAUCAAGCAAUGUUAACAACUAUGAUUAGUCAUUAGUAUACACUUUGCAACAUUUAAUUAAAUAAAUUAAGAGGUCGAAGGUAGGCCUGUAAACGGGUCGGGUUUAUUGGGUUCGGGUCGGGUUGAACCCGACCCGUUAAUUUAACGGGUCACCCAAACCCAACCCGUUAAGCUAACGGGUCACCCAAACCCGACCCGUUAAGCUAACGGGUCUUAACGGGUCACCCGUUUCAUGUUUUUUUUUUUUUUUUUUUUUUUUUUUUUUUUUUUUUUUUUUU
RNAcentral lists this long non-coding RNA (68186 nucleotides) under Malus domestica (apple). Its description in RNAcentral is "long non-coding RNA (MDOM_LNC011589)". The stretch from base 25066 to 25135 matches the Rfam family "tRNA". The record is from RNAcentral. Lineage: Eukaryota; Viridiplantae; Streptophyta; Magnoliopsida; Rosales; Rosaceae.